Molecule: long non-coding RNA, 61004 nt
Filed under: Lactuca sativa (garden lettuce)
Lineage: Eukaryota; Viridiplantae; Streptophyta; Magnoliopsida; Asterales; Asteraceae
Description: long non-coding RNA (LSAT_LNC009226)
Source: RNAcentral
UAAUAUUGAUUGAUCUACUUACUGGGGUGACGUCUAUGCUAGGUUUAGUGAGAUGUUUAUAGUGAGAUUUCAAAUAGUAUACUCUGUAUACCAAACAUACCCCACCUCUUAUAUGAUCUUACCUGGUUUCUCCUUAUCGUAUUUAAACUAUAUGAUAUGAUUUUACAAGUAUAUUUAUUUUAUCAUGUUUAAACUAUAUCGAUUAGUGAAGAGUUAUGGGAAAAUAAAAUAAUGAUGAGAGGCCAUGCAUUGUACUGCUGUACUACUAGGACCAAUCAUCUAACAUAGUAUAAAUGAUGACCACUGACUAUUCUAGAAAGUCUGAUGGAACACUAGCAAGCUUGCCACCUGUCGGUGUUAAUGAUAAUGCUUUUUAGGGAAAAGGAAAAAAUGUUCAUUCGGGUACUCUAUCCCCCUCAUGGUUGCCUUAUUGACAUAUACUAUUAUGGAAUCCCCAAAGUAGUAUUGUUUAUUCGUCGCUUAUAGUGAUCCUUUAGGACAUGUCCCUCAAGAUCAUCAUUUUAGGAGUGAGAAUAACGGGAAUGAGUAACAUGGUUAAUUGUUUGUUGUGAAAAUAUAAUUAAAUGAUUUAAUUAUUAUGGGUUGAAAACCCUAUGUACUCACCAGACUUUCCAGCAUGACCCACUCCGUUUCUUUGUAUCAUAGGUAAAGUUACGAAGGUACAUGGAUAAUGAUGUUUGAAUCCGCUGAGAGAUUUAAGGAGUUUAGACCAUUAGUAUAAUAAUUUGUUGUAAGGCCUGUAAUGACAAUGUUUAUGCUUAUGUUUCUUGUAUCAAUUAUGACAUCCCAAGUUUUUAAUAAUCAAUGAAAAACAUUUAUUCAUAAAUGCUUUUAUCUCAUAUUUGUUAUGGAACAAAUUCCACAUUUAUAAACUAUAUUGUGUUCAAAAUAAGCAUAAAGAAAAAGUCUUUUUUUGGGCUAUAAAAUUGGGGAUGUCAUAAUUGUUGAUUUAAAUGUUUCAGGUACUUUUGACGAUUGAGGUAAAGCGAAGACGUGACUGUGCACAUCAUCCAUUGGUCAUUAUGUUUUGAAAGAUGUUAUGAUUUUGAUACUCUAAUUUUAUGUCACGUGGAGAAACAAGGAUUUUGAUGACUUAUGGUUUUAUGAAAAACACAUUUUAUUUCCUUAAUUUUUUUACUAUGGUUUUUGGAACGUUACAAAAAUAGAGAUAAAUGUUAGACCGACAUCAUUUCCAUACAACAUUGUUACAAGAAAAAGCAAAAGUAUGUGUGGGAGAGAGACGGUCUGUGCAACGGGAAAUAGAAUCGAAGGAAUGGAAGAGUACUAAUGGCGAUGAAAUGAAUAGGUAAAAAACGAGGUUGCUGAGGUGUUUGUCCACAUCAACAACUCCUAUCACAUGUAACAUUUUAACUUUCUAUAGCCGGUAUAAGGACUAAAUGAACAGGUAAAAAACGAGUUUAUUCCCCUAAAGUAAAAAAAAAAAAAAAAAACUUGAGUGACCUUUUAAAAUAAAAGAGAAAAAUCCGUUGGGUUAAAAUGACAUUAAGGUGUUGUUUGUUUUUUGAAAAUAACAUUUUCAAACCUCUUAUUGCUGCGCGGCGCAGCACACGUGUAAUACUUUUCAUCUCGCAACUGUUUGUUUUUUAGAAAUCUUCUGAGUCAAAAACCUCUACGCGCGCUCUGUUUGGCGCAACACUUGUACUACCUCUUCCAACUUCUUCUUCUUCUUUUUUUAUUGCUGAAAUUUUGAUUAUAUGUUGUUAAAAUUUUAUUUCACAUUUUUUUUUUUCGUUUAUUCUUGUUGAAUUUAUUUUUUGUUUUUCUAUAUUCAAUAAUGAUAAUUUCUUGAUGAAAUAUCAUUAUUUUUUACUAAAUUAUCUUUAUUUUUUUUUGUUGAAAUAUCAUUAUUUUUUACUGAAAUAUUAUUAAUUUUUACCGAAAUGUUAUACAUUAUUAAAUUUUACGUAUUAAAAAGCUAUUUUCGGUUUAUAAAAUCAGUUUAUUUUAAUUUUUUAAUAUCUGCAGCAACAUGCAGAUAUUAAAAAAACAAACACGCUUCUUAUCACAGUCUACAGCCGUUUCGUCCACCUCUUCUACUGCAGAGGGUUGCAGAGGUGAUCCCGGACUUUAUGAAUUUUUGCUUCAAAAAAUCAAACAACACCUAACCCUUCAUUACAUACUAAAUUAUCGUUUUAAGUCAUGCAUUACAAAGUACUGGUAAAAUUUUAAGACUUGACAUUUCUAACGAAUCACAAUUAUUUAAAAGAUAAAUCCACUGCAAAUUUAUUUGACAAAUCUUUUGUUCGCAAAAAGAAUACAAUUUCUCGGCAUCUACAAAAAAAUAAAAAAUAAAAAAUAAAAAUAAAAAAGGUAAAAAGUAAAAAAAUAGAAAAAUAAAACACGAUUAGGGCGCAGGGCGCACCAAUUCAACAAACAAACUCCAUUAACGUAAAUUCAAGUUUGAGACAGAUUACAAUAGCAAAAAAUCUAACAAAGAAACACUCAAAUUAAACCGAAGACUAUGGCAGAUGCCUACUGCGGCGACUGCAAGAGGAACACGGAGGUGGUGUUCGAUCAUUCUGCCGGCGAUACCGUUUGUUCUGAGUGUGGACUCGUCCUUGAAUCCCACUCGAUCGAUGAGACCUCCGAGUGGCGUACCUUUGCCAACGAGUCCGGAGAUAACGAUCCCGUUCGUGUCGGCGGUCCCACCAAUAUCCUCCUCAACGACGGUGGUUUGUCCACCGUGAUUUCUAAACCUAACGGCGGCACCAGCGAUUUCCUUUCGUCUUCGUUGGGACGGUGGCAGAACCGAGGUUCUAAUCCCGAUCGUACACUCAUCUUGGCGUUUAAAACGAUCGCGACCAUGUCUGAUAGGUGAACCGUUUUGUCUAUUCAUUGGUCUACUAAGAUGUAUGAAUUUCGAUGAUUUAGGGUUUCAUCUUGUGCGUAAAGAAUGCUCUCAAUCUAAGUAACUAGGGAUGGCAAUACCGUUGCAUCUUUAUAUUUCCCCAGGAAUUAGAGAUAAGGAAUGUUGUGGAUUUAUUGGCUAUGGCUUCUUUAAUUGAUUGAUCUGUAAGUUGGAAGGCUUAGGUAUUGCAACCCUAUUUCUCCAUCUCUGGUGUCUGUGUUUUCCCUCUAGUUAAGCUUUGUAAGUGAUAGUUAAACUUGUACACAUUGUAAGGAGUUAUUUGUGACUUGUGGAUUUUGAAUUUGCGGGGUAUCAUUGAGAAUAUGUAGGACAGUAGGAGAAUUGUUGUUUCUACUUUCUUGUGAUGAUAACGACAGGAAGUAGUCAUCUUGCAUUUCAUUUGAUUCUUUUAGAUGAAUAAUUUCAGGGCAUCAAUUUAAUCUGUUCUAUUGAACAUUAUCAUUCUUGUUUCAACAAUUUUCACUUGAUUUACUUGGGUUGUCAAGUUUGUAUCUGAUAGACUUAAUUUAUUGUUCAGGUUGGGCCUUGUUGCAACAAUAAAGGUAUGCAAAUGCAACUGUGUAUUUCAGUCAUAUAAACUGCCUUAUCCUUUUGAAUUCUUCCCCCAUUUUUGGUGUGUAGUUUUGAUUUUGUUUAUGUAUUUACACACUAUAGGAUCGUGCUAAUGAGAUAUACAAAAAGGUGGAAGAUCAGAAGUCAAGCAGAGGGAGAAAUCAGGAUGCCAUUUUGGCUGCUUGCCUUUACAUUGCUUGUCGUCAAGAAGACAAACCACGAACAGUAAAGGGUACAAACAAACAUUGAUAUCAUUUAUAUUUAUAUUUGGAUUAUUCUAAUUUAUGUAUUCUCAAUCUCAAGAUUUCCUUCAACUCUCUUCGAAUAGAAAUAUAUGAAAUAGAUUUCUUCCUUGAACUCUAUUCAAAUAGAAAUAUGUUCGGUUGCCAAUGGAGCCUCAAAGAAAGAAAUCGGUCGGGCAAAAGAAUAUAUUGUCAAACAACUAGAGCUUGAGAUGGGUCAAUCUGUUGAAAUGGGGACUAUUCAUGCUGGUGAUUUCAUGGUCAGUUUUUUUAAUUUUUUUCCCUGUAAAUAUCUCAUAAUAUUUUUUAUUAAUUUGAGUUCUUUCGAUAUGUAUUUCUAAUGAUUAGAGACGAUUCUGUUCGAAUCUUGGAAUGACCAAUCAAACUGUUAAAGCUGCCCAAGAAUCUGUAAAGAAGGCAGAAGAGUUUGAUAUAAGGUAUUUUUUUUUUGUUUUGUUUUGGUUUCAUAUCCAAUAUAUUGAAUCAUUUGGGUUAUUCUUACAAAAUUUAUACAAUUUGUUUUUCAGGAGAAGCCCGAUAUCUAUAGCUGCAGCUAUUAUUUACAUAGUAACUCAACUUUCGGAUGAGAAAAAGCCCCUCAAAGGUAGAUAUAUAAAAAUGCAACAUUUGACUUUACAUAAUUGGUGAAGUUAAAUGUAAGUUAUGAUGUAAAAGUUGCUAAAAAAGGAAUUUUAUGGAUGCAUCAGAUGUAGCACUUGCAACUGGAGUUGCAGAAGGGACAAUCAGAAACUCGUACAAGGAUUUGUAUCCUCAUUUGACAAAAAUCAUACCAACUUGGUAUGCACAAGAAGAUGAUAUUAAGAACCUAUCUAGCCCUUAAAAACCCAUACAUACUCUUUUAAAACUUCAUUAUUUUUCUUUUUGGAUCUUCUUCUGAUACCAAAGAAGAUAACAGUUAACAUGGGUAACAUUGUUUUCAAUUUAAUGAAUGGAUUUGAAUGUGUCCUUGAGGAUUGUCCCAUAUUGGGUACCAUGAAAUCCAAUUUGGGAUAAUCCACAGUUAUACGAGAGUAUGAGUACAUAUAUGCCUAAUUAAGAUUGCUCAAAUAUUUUUUUUAAUAAAUAGUAAAUUCUAUCCUAUACCAAGUAUAUGAGAGUAUGACUUUCAACCAUAUUGAUUGACAAUCAUACUAUUUAUUAUAAUUAUGUCCUUAUGACUUUAAGCACGAUGAAAAACUUAACAAGACUUCCAACUACAUUCAUAAGCAUACACUCACAUUCUCAUUAUACGCCAAAGAUACAUUAUUCUCUCUCGGAUGACGAGAGUUUCUGUGACAUCUCCAUGAAUAUGAGGGGAAAAUUUCAAGUCAAAUAUGGUACUUAGUAUUUUUUUUAGAUAGUCUAGUUUCUCUGUCGUAAUAUCAUUAUCUUGAACACCAUUAUCAUGAAUGCCAUUAUCAUGUUUUCAGUGAUUUUUUUCCCUAGAUCUAAACUGUUUUACCAAGAAAGUUAAAAUGUAAGAUUUAUUUUCUAUUACUAUUUACUACUACAAAAAUCUUCAAAGAAAGCUCCAUAUAUAGAGUUAGGUUUAAAUGUUUCUAACAACUAUAUAUAUAUAUANNNNNNNNNNNNNNNNNNNNNNNNNNNNNNNNNNNNNNNNNNNNNNNNNNNNNNNNNNNNNNNNNNNNNNNNNNNNNNNNNNNNNNNNNNNNNNNNNNNNNNNNNNNNNNNNNNNNNNNNNNNNNNNNNNNNNNNNNNNNNNNNNNNNNNNNNNNNNNNNNNNNNNNNNNNNNNNNNNNNNNNNNNNNNNNNNNNNNNNNNNNNNNNNNNNNNNNNNNNNNNNNNNNNNNNNNNNNNNNNNNNNNNNNNNNNNNNNNNNNNNNNNACCACCUAGUAUUUUAAAAGUGUAAAAUACAUCAUAUACUAUAUAUAUGUAACAUUAAAAGUCUAAUAUUAUAUAUAUAUAUAUAUAUAUAUAUAUAUAUAUAUAUGAGAAAAAAAAAACAAAAUUACUGAAAACAAAGUAACUAACAAUUUACUAAUAAAUAGACUACGUAUAGUGCUUUAGAAUGGUAUACUAGGUAUACUUAGAAUGGUAUACUAGGUAUACUAGAUUGGUGUUCAAUAAAAUGAUGUGUACGAUGCUAUAUAUGAUGUGUACGAUGCUAUAUAUGCCUAGUGAUGUGAGAAAUGAACGGAUCAAUCUCUUUACGAGAUUCACCACUCUCCUCCACCGACCUCUGCACUUUGUCUGCCAAUUCCACCGCCCUCUUCCUCACCUCCUCCCCUUCCUUGGAGUCCAUUAAUCUCCUAACAACAUCCUUCACCACCACCGACUUCACCAACUCAUCUCUAUGUUGCCAAUCGUUCACCACCAACCCAAUUCUAAGAACAUCAGUUAUCAAAAAUGCAUUUCUUGGCUGAUCAGACUCCCCUUGAUAUACUUUCUGUACAUGAGUUCCAUCCACAAUGAGUCAUGAACCCACCGGUUGCAACAUGUCCCAAAAUCUCCAUUUGUGGUGCCCACUCACGCACCACUAGUCCCCGUCCUUCCACCCGCUCUUCAAACCCUUCCGGCAAAUCCACCAUUUUAGCCUCCUCACCAAUCACAUCCCCUUUGUCCGCCGCUCGUGCCACCCAGAUAAACCUCUGCCGGCUUCUCUCUAACCCAAUAGCCAGCUCUGUAAUUUGUUCGUCGGUGAAGGUGGUUGUUGUCCCAAAAGACAUAGGAGGCUGCAUGUGUCACACCCCCGAACCAGACGGCGGAAACGUCCGGGGGCUGUCGUGACUCAAUUGCAUAUCAUAACAUUGAAUAUAUAUGAAACAUAACAACAUUCGUCACCAUUCAUUUCAUAUUACAACCAGUAGUGUUUACAUGUCAUACAUUGUUUAAAACAUUACAUUCACAAAAAUUAAUUUGUUCCAUUCAUUCAAAAUUAAACUGCAACCGUCACUGGAUAUGAUUUCCCUUGAUUCACUGGUUCCCUGAGAAUACAAGUAUUUUGAAAAACGUCAACAUAUGAAAUGUUGGUGAGUUCAUAAGUAGUGUUUGAAAUCGAAUGUUUGUAUUGCUUGAAAAACCACCAGAAAAUCCGAUAUUUUCUGAAAAGAAAAGCUUUUGAAAACGUUUGUGAAGAUCCAUAGGUAUGCUUGUUUGUUUCUAUACUUGUAAAAAAAAUGUUCAUUGAAAAUGUAUGCAUUUCAAAUCUGUAUGUAUUGAAAACCCUAGGGAAACCCGAUGUUCCCCUAGUUCCUUUGGAAUCCAUUAAGUUACGUUGAAACCAUUACGAAGAUAGCAGUGUCAGUCCCAGGCGACGUUGGAAGGUUCUCGAGCAUGAUUAUUUACUACAAACCCGCAUUACACAAACGCCCAGUUUAUAGUUAUACUAACGAUCCCGAAGGCGUCGUCCGUACUAAUCACGUUAUCCAAUCGCCCUGACUAGGUGUAGUCCCACAUCCGAAGAGAAAGAGGUCACGAAGACCCCGGUGACUCCAUUAACCGGUUGGGGAAAAUAUGCGUGCGAGGGGUCCCCGACCCGCCUCGUAAAAUAUGCAGACUCUUCUAGCAAUACCAAGGACCCUUGGGGACCAGUGGUACAAGCCAUUGAAAGUCACUCUACGUUGUGCCAAGUCGGUGAAACUCAACACUUCGUAGAAAAUAUGUGUCUUCGGGCCUUAAGAUCAGGUCAUUGGGCUAGCUAGGCCCAACAAGCAAGAUUUUACACUUUUGGGGCCCGAAGAUGGUGCGUAGACGUCUGUGCACACUCGUAUGUAUAUGUAUUACCAAACGUUAUUUGUAUGAAUCGUAGUAUCGAAGAGUUAGUAGUUGUAGAUUUCCAUUGGCUCGAGACCGAGCCAAUUCGUUUAACAACGACUUUUGGUAUUGUAAUGAGUUGUAUUUCGUCGAUAGUCGAGGUGUCAUUAUUUGAUCAAAUUGUACAUAUUGAAUUAGCCUUGAAAUAUUUCUGUUUUCAGCCCCUCAUUAUUUGUAAAAUUUACAUUUUCAACCCUUUUAUUGUAAUAUUUCCCGGUUUGGUCCUUAAACUAUUUUUCUUGACAUUUUAACACCAAAAAUUAUUGAAAUUAAUAUUUUCCAGCAUAUUUUUCAUAGAAAACAGUUUAAGUCCCUGAAAAUGCAGUUUUUCUCGGUUUUAGCCCUUCUUUUCGCAAUUUUGACAAUUUUGGCCCAAAUUGGAAAAUUUUUGCAACUUUGGUCCUUUUUAAAUUUAAAAAGCAUUUUAAACCUUUGAAAAGGAUUUGGGACACUUAUAGUCCACUGUUUUACAGAAAUUCACAGUUUUGGCCCUUCAAAACAGAAAAAUUCGCAUAAUGGGCCUCCUUGGGCCGAAAUUUUCAUUUUUAGCCCAAUAAGCUUGAAAUUUAUGUUUUUAAUCCUCUAAUUGAAUAUAAUUCCAGAAAUAGUUUUAUGGAAACUGUUUUGGCACAUUUCAUCCAUCAGAAUCUGUGAAAUGUCAAUUUGGGCCCUUAAUUUUGUAUUUUUCACAUUUUUGGCCCAAAAUGUGUGUUUUUAGCUUAAAGAAAAUUGUUGCUAACCACUUAGCUAUUUUUCUUGUAUCACUUUAUAUGUAGAAAUAUAUUUGAAGCUAAAAUCAUAAAACAUAAGUUAUAUCUCGGUUUUGAGGGGUUUAAUGGCUAGAUCCAACAUUAAAACACAUAUAAGCAUACAUAUAAGCAUGGAAAUCAUACAAGGCAUACAAACACAUAUAGAUCUACACUUUCACUUGUAUUCCCCCCCCCACAAAACUCAUAAAAACAGAAAAUAGGGGUAUGAAUCUCACCUUGGGUGUAGUUUCGGUUUUUGGAAGAAAAGAUGGAAGAAAAAUGAAGUGUUUUUGGCCUUGGCUCCCUUUGAUGAAGAUCUUGAGUUUUGAGAUGGUUCUAGGGUGUAAGAUCACGAUUUUUGCAUAGGUUAGGAAAGGAUUUUGAUAACAAAAGAAUUUAAACCAUAGAUCUAUGCAUGAUCUUACCUUAGAUGAAGAAUUUUGUGGAAGAACCUUCUUGAAUGCUUCCAAAUUUUCGAGAUUUUGGAUGGAGGGGAAGAGAUGUUCUUGAGUGAUCUAGAGAGGAUUUGAGAGAUUUUUGAGUGUGUGUGUGGGUGUAUGGCCGAGAGUGAGAGAGAAGAGAAGAAGAGAUGUGAUCUUGAAGUGAUAUGCAUGGAAGCAUGGGAAGUAAUGCAUGGAAGUCCUAUGGGUAAUAGUGAGGUGGCAACCAAAGUCAACUUCUCUUCUUAUCCUCUUGAGUUUGGGCCUUUGGGCCGAGAUUUUAGAGAGGGAAAAGAAAAAUUUGGGCUUUUUCCCUUAAGCCCAAAAUUAGAGUUAGUUAGAGUGUGUCUUAUGCUUAAGAGAAUGUAGUAGGAUUUUUAUGUUUUUCUUGAACUAGUUUUAGGUUAUUCAUGUAUCAAGGCUCUUAAUCCAUUUCAUUCAUGACCUAAAAUGUUGAAAUAAAUAAAUAUGGGUCCACUUAGAGUCCAAUUAGGGUUCUAAGCCCAUGAUAGUCUAAUUGGAAGCUUAUUGGUCCAUUUGGAUCCAAUAGGGGAGUCCUAAUCCAAAAUGGACUUAACAAGGACUUCUAGGGUUUCCAAUUGUUUGAUGACUAUUUGUAGUACUAGCAUAAUGUAUUUGAUUGAAGUUUUUGAUUCACAUUAACUAGAAUGUAUAGAUUACAUGGCUCAAAAUUUACAGUUGUGACAGCAUGUCCAGCCAUUGCAAGCAUUUGUGACGGUUAUUUGAAACCUUAAAAGUUGAUUUGUCCACAUCCACAUGAUUAAUUAACGGCCCUAUUGCCCAAAACUUCUUCUUGCCAUUAAUCUGUUCUCUCUCUAAAUAUUCAAGAUAUUCACCUUCGAUGACUCUUGAUGAAUCGAAUAACUCUCCAACAUGUGAACCGUCUUGGGCUAUGAUUUGAAGAUUCACAAAGUCUAUAAACUCCGGCGAGAAACAUCCAUCACUAGACGGCAGCCGUUUUAGCAUUCCCGGGUCCACCGGGAAGGGUCUGCUCCUUCUCUCCCAGGCUCCCCAAAAAGUGUCAAAAGCUGAGACCGGAUCGAAGAUGUAAGUCACGGCGUUUGGUAUAGAUUUUACGUUUUGAACAACGUACAACAUCAAGGAAUCAUGGACGACGACGACUCUCUUGGUGGUGCUAGAGAGAGAACGUAUGAGUUCGGUAACUGGGCGGCGGAGAUGGAGGGAUGAAUCAAUGGCUGGUUGUAGGUGGGCAGGAAACCGGUUGGAAGGGUUGGGUUGAGGAGAAGUGAAGGGAGGGGUUCGGAAUUCGUGGAAGUGGAUCAGGUUGGAGGCAGCGGAGUGUGAACUGAAAUCUUGGAAGCGGGAGCGCACUUGGCGGAUGUGGGUGGUGGUGGUUACGAAGUGGACAGGAAUUUUAUAGGUGGAUAUAAGGCGGGAAAGGUGAACGAGCUGGUUGAGAUGACCAUGAGCUACGAAGGGCACCAUCACCAUCACCUCUAAUUUAGACUCACCAACUAAAUUUCAAAAAUAAAUAAAAAAGACGGAGAAAACAUAAUUAACGGAAUGAAGUAAAUGAACUACUCUUGGUGAAAGCCAAAUAUGCUAUAGGAGCAAAGCAAAGACGCUGGUCGUGCUAGUUGUCACAAUAUUAAUAUAUGGUGUUUUUAAAUAUAUUUUUAGGCUAUUGACAUGAAAACAAGAAUUUUUUUUCAAAAAACGAAUAUUUAUUCUAACAUCACUUUUUGGAACGUUAAAACCAAAACUUUGUACGUUUUUUUGUAUUUUUGUUUUUGAUGAUAAUUAAGAUAUUUUUUCAUUCCGUUAAUUAAGUUUCCAAUGACAUGCUGAAUGUCUAUGAUUCCCAUAUGCAACACUAAAUGACAAGAAAGGCGUCAGUAGUGAACACCCAUCCCAAAUCACGUGCGUUUAGUUAAUUUGAAUUAUGCUGUAAUUAUAAUAUUAAUUAAUAUCUAGAAAAACACUGCUUCUAACUAACCACUAACAAGUUAUGAGAAAGGCCUCAGCCCUCAGCAGAUCUAGAACUAGAACCUCCACAAUAGGAUCAAAACCCAAAAAUGGAAGGCGACGAGCGAAAUGCUACAAUACACUCCCCGUCGCCGGUAGCCGAAGUAGUGGUGGUGAUGGUGCCAUUCCUAGCUCAGGGCCAUCUCAACCAGCUUCUACACCUUUCCCGCCUUAUAUCCACCUACAAAAUCCCUGUCCAUUUCGUAACCACCACCACCCACAUCCGCCAAGUGCGCUCCCGCUUCCACGAUUUCAGUUCACACUCCGCAGCUUCCAAUCUCAUCCACUUCCACGCACUCCCAACUCCUCCCUUCACUUCUCCUCAUCCCAACCCUUCCAGUCGGUUUCCGUCUCACCUACAACCCGCUUUCGAAUCAAGUCUCCAUCUCCGCCGCCCAGUCGCCGACCUUAUAUUAUCACUCUCUAGCUCCACAACGAGAGUCGCUGUCAUCCAUGACUUUAUGAUGUCCUACGUCGUUCAAGACGUGAAAGCGAUACCAAAUGCCGAGACUUACAUCUUCAGACCCCUAUCCGCUUUCCAUACCUUCUGGCUAACCUGGGAGAGAUUGAGCAGACCCUUCCCGGUGGACCCGGGAAUGCUAAAACGGCUCCCGUCUGCAGAUGGAUCUUUGUCGCCGGAGUUUAAAGAAUUCGUUAAACAACAGUUACCCCAUGUCGGUUAUCACGUCGGAGAGUUAUUCGAUUCAUCAAGAGUCAUUGAAGGUGAAUAUCUUGAAUAUUUAGAGAGAGAAGAGCUGAACGACUAUAAGAAGCUUUGGGCAAUAGGGCCGUCUAAUCAUGUUGACAGAACAUCUUUUACCGUUUCCAAAAACCAUCAUAAAUGCUUGCAAUGGCUGGACCUACAGCCUCCUACCUCCGUCGUUUAUGUGUCUUUUGGGACAACAACAACCUUCAGUGACGAACAAAUUACAGAGCUUGCCAUUGGGUUAGAGAGAAGCCAGCAGAGGUUUAUCUGGGUGGUUCGUUCGGCGGACAAAGGGGAUGUGUUUGGGGAUGAAGCUAAAAUGGCGGAUUUGCCGGAAGGGUUUGAAGAGAGGGUGGAAGGGCGGGGAUUGGUGGUGCGGGGGUGGGCACCGCAGACGGGGAUUUUGGGUCAUGUUGCAACCGGGGGGUUCAUGACUCAUUGCGGAUGGAACUCCUGUACAGAGAGUAUAUCAAAUGGCGUGCCAACGGCUACUUGGCCAAUGCAUUCUGAUCAGCCACGUAACGCGUUUUUGAUGACUGAUGUUCUUAGAAUUGGGUUGGUGGUGCAAAAUUGGGAACAUAGAGAUGAGUUGGUGACGUCGGUGGUGGUGGAAAAUGUUAUUAGGAGAUUAAUGGAUUCGAAGGAAGGGGAGGAGGUGAGGGAGAGAGCGGUGGAAUUGGCGGACACAGUGAAGAAGUCGGUGGUGGAGGGUGGUGAAUCUAGUAAGGAGACUGAUUCGUUCAUUUCCUACAUAAGCAGGCAUGGAUAACAAUAGGUCCAAAUGAUUUCUUCUAUGUUUCAUGUAAUUCUCUUAUGCAUCCAAUAUAUAUUGGCAACUCAUUCAUAUGCUUAAUUAUUUCUCCCUGUGUUGUUUCAAUCUUUUGAUUGUUUUGAGAACACUGUUUUAUUCACUCCCAAGGCAUUCUUGAUACUUUUUUCAUAUAUACUAUAGAACAUAUACGGUUAAAGGCCUUUAUUUUUAUUUUUUUCGAAAAUCAUUCCCGACGGAACUUGUGCCGACAACAUGUCAUCGAUAUAGGGGUAUGUACCUAUCCUGAUGACAAUUUCCACCUAUACCGACAAGGCUAUGCCGACGAAUCUGUGCGACGACAUGUCUUCAAUAUAGCCUAUCGCGAUGACAUGUUGUCGGCAUAGGGUUAAAAAGUGUGGUCGGCACAGGGGUUGGAAAAAAUGUUGUCUAGCAAAGAAGUUGGAGGGGGGGGGGGGGGGGGGUGGUUGGUNNNNNNNNNNNNNNNNNNNNNNNNNNNNNNNUGAUGGCUUGUUUUUGUAAGUGCUUCUCUAUAAAUGGAGAUAGAGGUGUCUACAAGUUCAAGAUGAUCAAACUUUAUAAGUUCUAUUAUAAAAUAAACUCAUAGAACAAAUGUGUGUUUUUUGGGCAACUGAUGAUUGGAAGUUCGGUCCUAUAGUACUCAUAGUGGAGAGCUCUUGUGCAAUCAGAAGAAAUGGUUUGGAUCUUAGUUAUUUCUCCUCUUAAAGGUGAGAAAUGAAAAGAAAAAAAAACCAAGUUUUUGGGAAGAUAUUUAUAAUCUUCAAGUUUAAACAAACUUUGAAUUUUCGCUCUUGAGAUGAACAAAUCGGCUUCGAUUUACAAUGGAGUUUCGACUCUUUGUUAGCAUUCAUUCUUGUGUAGCUAGCCAACAUAAAGGAAGAGGAGCAUUGGUGUGAACUCUGAAAUGGACAACUUACUUUAUUCUUUUGCCAUCACAUGUUAGAUGGAUGAAUUUAGAUUUAAUGGGUACUUUCACGAUCUCUACAAUUUAGACUGACUUGAUGACACUAGUUAAUAGUUAUCAUAGAUUGUUAUGGCGAGUGAUCAUUUAGAAGAUCAUUGUCCUCCACUAGCUUAACUACAAGAGAUUUUAAAUCGUAUCUCACCGUAUUCGUUUUAUCCUCUACCAAAUCUUUUGAUCUCAAUGAUGUUAAGCAACUCUUGAUCGAAGCAAUCAUGGCUUCGAAGUUUUUGUUUUUUUUCAUUCGGGGUCUUACCUUGGGGAUAGACGAUGGACCCAAUUUUUAAAAGAAAAUUUCAUCAAAUAAAAGGAGUUUACAUUUUGUGACAUCUCUUGACACCCUUAGUUUUAAUAGGGAUCUUGCCUCAUGAUUUUAUUGGUCCUAGGUAGACUCGAGUCCUCGAACAAUUUGGUUAUGGAGAAUAUUUUGUAGCUCUAUGAGAUGAAUUUUUUUGUUUUUAUUAAGUUGAACAUUUUGGGUUAGAAAUUACGUUUAAAAAAUUGCUUAUAAGUUUAAUCAAUAAACCUCAUUGAUAGAGGUUUGGAUGUUAACCAAGUUGUUUAUCAUAUUUGUGAUGCUCAUAAUGAAACAACGGAUCAUAUUUUUAGUACUUGCAAGGUUGGGGCUUCUAUUUGGUGCCUUAUAGUUACUUACUAGGGUUUCGAUAAUCUAAAUGUCGGUUCAGUCUUCUCAGAGUUUGUGACUUGGGUGGAUAAACUAAUACUCAGUUUUAUAUAUAGAAAGAAAAUGCUUCGAUACAAUUGUUAAUACAGCUGUUUGAAUUAUAUGGAGCUAUGCUAACAAAAUUAUUUUUGGAAAAAUCAAAAUGCAGAAAACGGUUUUGUUUGAUAGAAACAUCACUCAUUUUUUUUGUAGGUUUGACAUUUCUUGAUACGACCCACGACAAGACAUGAAAUUAACGGGUUUGGAUUGAGUUUUUCAACCUGUCAAUCCGUUUAUUAAACAGGUCAUAUAUGAGUUUUUCAAAAGAAUAUAUGGGUUGACCUGCUAACCUGUUUAGAAUUUUAAUAAAAAAAUUAUAUAUUUUUUAAAAGUAUUAAGUAUUAUACACUAUACAGUUUAUACUUUAUACUAGGAUAGGAUAUCCGAUACCAUUGACCAUUUGACAUUUGGCGUUUUCCCUAAAUAUUCUCAGUAUCUCACAAACAAAAUCGAAUAAGCCCUCUCUCGCUCUCUCGUCUGUGAUGAACGACAGAACAAGCUCACGAAUAACGGCAACAUGAAUUAUUAAAUCAUUAUCGAACAACUUCGAUGCUUGAACGUGAACGACAGACACACAACACAGUAGACAAUCGAUUUGCUGUGAUCCAACCUACGAACACACGAACCCAAAUCUGAACCAUGAACCCACCAACCUUUGAACCCGUAUAAAUAAGUGGGUUGACGGGUCAUAUAUGAAUUUAUGUUCCAAAUCCGCCAACCCGUGACAUGUAUAGUUACAUAGAUCGUGUUUAGGUUGGUAUAUUUUGACCCGCCAACCCACGACAUGUCAACCCGAACACAACACGAUUGUCAGACCUAGUUUUUUUUAGUCUUUAAUAGAAGUUGUAAGUGUAAGAUUAAUUUGGUUGAAUGGUUGCAUACCCUUCUUUUUAUUAUAUCUGAUAUAUAAUGUUUGUUUUUUUUCUCGUAUCUUGAUUGGUUUUUAUAUAAGAUAUUUUGUUUGAAAAAAUAACAAUAGUCAAAAAAACAAAGUAAGGGACGAUAUAAGAAUAUAGACAUAAUUAAAAAAAAAAUCAAUUUCAACGUUAUCCUUCCAACAAAACAGUAAAAGACAUUAUUUCUAUAAAUAAAAUAUAUAUCAACAUCAAGAUAUGAGUCACCAAAAUUAAAACCUAAAUUAAGAUCACUGCCAAAAUAAGGUUAACUAUAAGAAAAAAUAGACUUUAUAUCAACUAGGUAGUUGUGAUCUUUAUACGGUUGGAUAAACAAAAAUAUUUAUAUAAUAUUAAAUAUAAAGGAUUAAACAAAAUUUUAUUUAGAUUUGAAAUUUAAAAUUUUAAUUUUGAAUUUAAAAAGAAACAUAUUAAAUACUAUAUAAGUAAUAAUAUUGUAAUUUAUUGGUUAUUUUUAAUUAAGACAAUUAUUAAUUAAGGUGUAAAUAUGAUGUGUUAAUUAAGAAAAGAUUAAAAAAAAAAUAAGAAAAUGACAAAUAAAAAAACAUUUAUUCAAAAAUACUAGAAAAUGACAUGUGUACAAGUUAAUGAGAAGGUGACAUGUGGCAAAAUUAUUUUCAUUUAUUAUGAAGGAUUUAUUAAUUUAGUUUGCGUGUCAACAUAGAUGAUAAAAAUAUCUGAAUAAAUCAAAAAAAGCCAAGCUCGAGAUUUUAGGCCGGUUGUUAGACCGAUUAUAAGAUUUAUUUUAAAAGAUAAUUUUGGUAUUAUGGUUUUAAAAUUAUAGUCAUCCGAUUACACGAUCAUAUUAAUUCAGUAAUGAAAUACUUAUAAUUUUAUAAUACUUAUGCUUUUAUAAUCUCAUCAUUAUCAUUAUCAUACAUACUUAUAAAGCUAGCAUUUUUUCUUGAAUCUCAUACAUUUGAAACCCCCAUUUUUAACUUCCUCAAACCACAUUCAUUUGAAACUCUAUUUUUUAACUAAUGCAACUCAAAGUUUUAUAACUUAUAUUAUGUUUAAUUAGCAUUUAGUGAAAAGUUUACUAUAAAAAGGCCAAUCUUUUGUGUCUUUUAUGUUAUAUAAAAUCUUAUAUGUAAGAAGGAUUUGAAGAUAUUGUGAUUCAAAGCAUUCACGAUCCAAAUAUGAUGAUUUGAAGAAAUGAGUUAUGUCGCAUCGAUAGUAAUUGUAAUAUGAUUUUUUCUUUCAACAAAAACAAAUGAAGCUUUUCUAUUCUUUCUUUAUAUUUAGUUUCUCAUUUAAUCUUUAUAUGUGAUUUGUGUGUAUUACUCAAUCUUGAAUGUGACUCUCCAAACAUCAUUGUUUUGCUUGGAAUAUCUUUAUGAUUCUUCUUUUUCAAUAAAAAUAUUUUGAUUGCAGGUUAGUGAAGAAUUGUCAUCAAGUUUCUAUGGUUGAAUGGUGUUAAAUGAAGAAAGAAGAUUCAUAAAAUGAAUAUAGGUUUUUUUGUUUGAGCAAGUUGACGAAUGUUAGUUUUUUCUUUUGAUUUAAAUGUAUGUUUAUGUAACAUUUUUAUUUAUAUAUUCAACCACCCAAUGCUCUUAUUUAUUUGAUUGUAGUUUUUCUAUUUUGAUUAUGUUUAUUUUCUACUACCUCCGUCCCAAUUUGAUAGUCCACUUUUGACUUUUGAAGUCUUUUUUCUUCAAUUUUAACCUUAAAUAUUUUUGCUUUUGAUAAAUAAUACUUGAUGCCAAAUAUACGAAUGGAUUUUAUUUUAAAUGUUUUUUCAUUGUUAUAAGUUUUAUUAAGUAAUAUAUAAUACAAAUAAAAAUAUUUAUGGUCAAAGUGAACAAAAAAGACUUCAAAAGUCAAAAGUGGGUUAUCCUACACAACAUAUUUAAGUAAUAUAUAAUACCAAUGCUCUUAUUUAUUUGAUUGUAGUUUUUCUAUUUUGAUUAUGUUUAUUUUCUAUUAUUUUUUUGUUGGGUUAUCCUACACAACAUAUUUAAAAGACAAUAUUUAAAAGAUAACAUAAUUUUGAACAUUUGAUAUGUAAUUAUGAUUGACUUAUCAUGAUAUGUUCUUCAUAUUAAAGUAAUUUAUCCAUAUUACUACGACAAGAAUUACAUAUGACAUUUACGAAAAUAUAUAUAUAUUAUAUGUGAUUUGUUUAACAUGUAUAUGCACCUAUGCAUGUUAUAAAUUUAUAAUUAAAUAUCUUUAUGAUUAAUAAUUGAAGGGAUUAAAAUGAUGCAUCAAACCAAUUAUUUAUACGAAUAUAAUAAUAAUAAUAAUAAUAAUAAUAAUAAUAAUAAUAAUACAUUUCCAAUUACCGCACUUAUUUGAAAUCACACUACAACUCAAUAGUUUUCUAAUUUAUAUAUAUUUAUUAGUUACAACUCAAAAGUUUUUAACUUAUGAUCAUUAAUUAGUAAUCACUAAUAAAUUUUUAUUUUCCUUUCUUUUAUAAGGUUGUAAAGUUUUGCUCAUUAAAAAACAUUAAUGUAUUAGAAGAGAUUUGUGAUUUAAAUAUGAAGAGUUAAUAUAAAUGUUAUAAUAGAUGUUUUAGUCUUUUUAUGUUAUUAAAAGUUAUAGUGUUUGUUUUUCAUAUUUUUUAUUAUUCGUUGUAUAUAUAUCUCUUUUUAAUACAAAUGUUAUAAUAAAUGUUUUUCUAUUUUUAUGAUACUAAAAGUUGUCGUUCAUAUUUUUGUUCAUACGUUUUGUUACCCGUUAUAUUAUCAUUCAUUUGAUAUAUAAUUUACAAAAUUUUAAACGGUUUAUAAAAUUAUCAAAUAAUUGUAUAUAUUACAAUGACUUAAAAAUUAAACUAUAAUGUUUAAUAAAACUAAUAUGUUAACUAUAUGUUUGCUUUACUACUAACAUUUUGUUUCAAAAUAGAAAUAUUAAAUAAUAAUUUGGUAAAAGUUAUUAUUUUAACUAUAUAAUUCUAUUCUUGCGUAACGCGCGAAGAUUCGCUUAGUGUUUAAUAAAAUUAAUAUGUUAACUAUAUGUUUGCUUUACUAUUAAUAUUUUGUUUCAAAGUAGAAAUAUUAAAUAAUAAUUAUGUAAAAGUUAUUAUUUUAAUUAUAUAAUUCUAUCCAGCACAACGCGCGUAGAUUCGCCUAGUAUACUUAUAAAAGAAAUAUUUUUCCUUUCACUACAUUCAUAUGAAACCCCCAUUCAUUUUUCCUUUCACCACAUUCAUUUGAAACUUCCAUGACUUUUCAAUUUCUUUUUAAUAAUGAUUAUAAGUUGGUUACUAAGGUUAAAUAAAUAUAAAACCUAAAAUGUAAUCAUAUAUAAACUAAAUUUCAAUAUUAAAAGAAUAUAAUUUCUUCUACUUAUAAAUUUAUGUUUUUAAUUUUUAACAUAUUAUACUUAAUUUAUUAGGUCUAAUAUGAUGUUGUAUGUAAACCAUUAUCAUUUUAAGGCUACAACUUUUGAACAAUUUGUAUAAAAUACUUAAAUUGCCAUUUUAAAUAUAACCUUAUAGGAUCAACUUAAAUAUAAAUUUUAGUUCAACUUAAACAACCAAAAAAAUAUUUUGUAAAUAGUUAUGAAUGAUAAAUUAUAUUGUCUUUCUAAUAAUGAUUAGAAGUAGGUUAAUAAUUAAAUAAGUAUCAAACCUAAAAUGUAAUUAUAAAUAAACUAAUUUUCAAUAUUAAAAUAAUAUUUUUAUUUCUACUUAUAAAGUUAUGUCUUUAACUUUUAACAUAUUAUUCUUCAUGUAUUAGAUUUAAUAUGUUGUCUUAUGUAAACCAUUAUCAGUUUAAAGCUACAACUUUUGAACAAUUUGGACAAAAUACUUAAAUUGUUAAUUUAAAUAUAACAUUAUAUGGUCAACUUUAAUAUAAGUUUCAGUUCCACUUAAAAUACCCAAAGAAUAUUUUGUGAUUAGUUAAAAAUGAUAGAUUGUAGUGCUAAAUGCAAAAACUAAAUUGUAAUAUCAAUUUAACUAAAAUAUUUCUUAAAGAUAUUUUUAUAAUCGUUAAAUUUUUUUAAAUAAGUAGCUUAAAAUAACUUACAAUUACAAUAGUUAAAAAUAACUCUAUAUAAAUGAUUAUAUUGUUAUCUUUAAAAUAAAAAAAAAUUUGUUUGAUGUUUUAAAUAAUUACAAUGAUAGAAAUUAAAACUUUAAGCAAAUAAAUUUUAAAAAAUUAAUUAACAAUAACAACAACUAUAAAUAACAUUAAACCAUAUAUUAUAUUUAGUCUUAUUCAUGAGUAUCUCGCGAGUAGAAGUCAUUCAAAAGAUUGAGAUUAAGCAGUUUUAAUAGAUGUAUAUAUUAUCAUAUAAUUCAAAAUAAUCAAUAUAUUAUAUUAACUUAGUAUACGAAUUAUUAUAUCAAAUUUAACAACAUUAUUGUUAUAUUUAAAAAAACAUAUAUUUAUAAAGAUUUCAGCUAUAUUGAUGCUUCUGCGCAACACGCGGACAUUCGCCUAGUAUCCUAAUAAAAGAGUGCCAAUAUGUUAGGUGGCAUCUCCAUAGCCCUCCACAUAACCUUUUCAGGCCUAAAAGUUUCUAUAUAAAAUACCUAAUAUUAGAUUAUAACCCACAGUAAAUGCAAGGGAACACAUAAAAAACAUACAAAUACCCACAGAUAUUACAUAAUAAUUAUCAUAUUUUUUAUGACUAUUGGUAUUAUUGAAAUGUGUAGAAGAUACACUGAAAUCGAUAAAUAUCUAUAAUCGUUGAAGGAUCUCUUUAUAAACAAUAUUUUUUGUUUUAUUUGUUGAACGACCUUCCUCGUCACAUAUGAGUAUCUUCAAACAUUUUUUAUUUGUGGCACGGGAAACAACUACAUAUAACUGACCAUGCAUGGAUACAAUUAAAUGAAUAUGGUCACCCGUAGAGAGAACAAUAAUAUCUUCUGGAAAUUCAACUUCAACUUCACCAUCAUUAGGGCCACCGAUAGUACCUUCACCAAUUUUAAGAAUCCAUUCAACAAAUUAUUGUGUCUCUUCGGAAUUAUUGUUUGGAAAACCGAUCUGAAGCCUCAUGUUACCGUCAAACGUAAAACUUUACAUUUACGCCAUAAUUCGGAUGAAUGCAAUGAUUUCUGGACAAUAUCUGAACGAUUUCCUCUUUGAUUUACUGGAAGAAUCAGUCGAAAGUCACCUCCAAAUACAAAAGUCUUGCCUCCAAAUGGUUUAUUCUUGUUCGAUGAAAGGAUAACAUCGAUAAGUUUCCAAUUAAAUGUUUCGAAACAAUGACGGUGCAUCAUCGAGGCUUCAUCCCAAAUUAAGCACUUAAGUUACCUAUACCAUAAGACUUUCAAACCAUGUAACUAAUAAUUGACUUUGUUCGUAUGUUAGCAAAUUACAUAUGGAGGAGGUAGUAAUGUAAACAACCAAGAUCAAGUGGAGAAGAAGAAAUUUUGGUAAACCCAAAACAAACCAUCUUGAAGUAAGGUACUGAUUUGGAACUACAAAACACUUGUAUGGAAUAUACAGGAUAUUCAAUUCAUAGUUAGAUCACUUAAAUUCCAAAAAACAAAAAUUAUUAUAGCAUUGUAGUUUCAUUUCUCAUUACAAAAUUUUACUUCCAACUUAUUUCUUAUUAGGACAUUGUAUUUUGAAAUUGUUUACCCUCGUUGCUAUAAUGGUAAACUUUUCAAAGUACAAUGCCAUACAAUAAAUAAUUUAAAAUCCCUUCUUCAUACUUGUUUUAGUUGCAUUUUGCAGAGAUUGAUCCUUCAGUCACAUGGGAGGGACAACGGGUUUUUGACAUCAUUAUAUAUGGUGAUAACUUGUUUCACGAGAUUGAUAUUGUAAAAAUGAAUGGAGAUAUUAAUAAUGCUCUUGUGCUAAAUAUAACAGUCUCUGUUAGUGGGAGGAGUUUGACAAUAACUUUACAACUUGUAAAAGGUAGUCAUACCAUAAUUAGUGCCAUAGAGUUCUUUGAAAUUGUCAGAGCCCAAAACUUUAAUUGACGAAGGAACUUUUAAAUCAUUUCUUGGAAUUUGAAGCUUUGAAAAGGAUUCUUAUGAAGUAGAAAUUCUUUCUUUAUGUUGUAGUAUAAGCUUUGCAGAAAUUGAAGGGUCCGUUUAAAUUGGAAUGGUGAUCCAUGUGUUCCACAACAACAUCCAUAGAGUGGAAUUAGGUGAUAAAUAAAUCUGGAAUGCAAAGCCGGAAUGGGUGAAAUGCAAUUAGGAAUGGAUAUCAGGAAUAGGGGAUGUGACAUCAAGUACGGUUGUUUAUGGUGUAUUAGAUGCUUAUAUUUGGUGUAUUAGAUUCUUUUUAUGUGAUGGUUGUAAUGCUAUAUAUAGGAUACAUAUAGAGUACGGUUAAAUAGUCGUACUUUGUUAGGCAUGUGUUAGGUGCAAUUUGUGCACCUUUUUGCUCACAUUUUAGUCCCAUUUCAUGCAUCUAUUUAGCAUAAUUGUCCUUCAUUUGUCUUGCAUUUCAUUAUAUUUCAUGUUAGUCUCUAGAACAACCUUAUUUGCACAUUUUCAUGUCUUUUUCAGGUAAACCGGAGGUUGGAGCACGCUUUAGAUAAACCAAUUACAUGCCAGUGUGUAGCCAAUACAUCCGAUAAUCCAGAAAAACCUCUGAGGGCCAAUCAGCAGGAAGCACGAAUCCGAAAACGACAUGAGCCUUCUAAGAACCAACCCGGGAACCCCACUCCGGUAAGAGAGAACUUUUGGAACUUCGACAUGGCGAUCACACCAGUGAUGAUCUCUCCAUAGAGGUACAUUACGUUCUAAGUACUGAAAAGCUCUAUCUUUCCGAGAGCUUAGGACCAUCCGAGAUUCUUUAUAAGAAUUGGUCCAACCCUUGUCAGACCACGACUACUUUCGGAAUUCCAUAAGUUUCACCCCAAAAAAAAUCCACGUCUUAGACUUGAAAAAGUACUUGCCCGACGUAACCCUCGAAGUUCCACUUGUCUUGAUAGAGAUCAUUGGGAACCCUAACUUCGUAGAAAAACCUGUAGGAAAUCGUGAACCGAAAGGUCAAGCAAACAAACCAAACCCGCAUUCCGUUAAUGAAGGGUCGCUAGAUCGCCAAGAGAAGACCUGAGUUCACUUGGGAGCACGAGGACCAGCCGAAUAGGAAGUACCCUCGUCUCUUACUCGAUUGUUCAUGCCUACUUCCUUGCCUAAACUCUAAUUUCAGGACGAAAUUCCCUCUAACGGGGGGAUGAUGUGACAACCCGAAAUUUCCGUUUGUUUUAACUCCGUAAUUAAGCACGUCAAAAAAAAAUUAGCCAAAUUUAUCCUAAAAUAUUUUUGGCCGGAUUUAAGCCCGUUGGAAUAUUUUAAAUAAUAUUCGUCAAGCGAACCAAAAAUAAGAAAGUAAAAUUUAGAGUUGCCGUGUUUAGCGUAAGUCGCGGAACUCCAAAAUUUGGAAUUUACGGACGAAAUUUCGGAGUUUUUGACCGCGAACCCCCGAGAGUAUAAAUAUGACACUUAGUCAUUUUCUCUCAUUUUUCCAACAUCCACCUCAAGAACACCUAAGGAUUCUCUCUCAACUAUCAUAAAUUCAUCCCGUCAAAUCCGCCAAAAUCGAUCAUUCAAGCUUCCUAUGCGUAAGUAUACUUCUCCUAGCUAGUUGUUUGAUUAGAAUCCAUGUCAAAACCUUGAAGAACACCAAGAACAAGGUGUUUACGGUCCAAGGUGUUCUUGGACCGUAAACUCCAAAUAGGGUGUCAAAGUGUGCCUUGGUUCAUUCUAAGCCUUGACAACUAGCAUAGAUCCCUUCCUAGAUGAGUUUAGCAUUCGAAAAUUAUCUUUUCCCCAUGAUCUUAUGAGUUUACGGUUUGGGGAGUUCAUCCCAAAAACCGUAAACACCUCCUAGAGGUGUUUAGAUGCCCCUAAUGCCUUCUAAUGGUUGUGUGAUGGAGUAGAACCUUACUUGCAUGAAUUAGGGACCCCAAGAACAUGUAUUGAAGGGAAAAACAUGAGUUUACGGUUUGGGAAGGUCUCCCAAAACCGUAAACACCUUUUAAGGGUGUUUAAGUGCCCUUAACACCUUCCAAUGCUUAUAUAAAUGACUAGAACCUUGCAUGCAUGACCUAGAACCACAAAAACACAAAAGAAAUGGAAUAACAUGAGUUUAUGAUCGUAAACUCAUGUGUUUACGACUGUAAACUCCCAAGGGAGUGGUCCAAGGACCGCAAAAUCCAUAAAGUGUCCAUUUUGAGCCCCAAUCACUUCCAUAGCCCUUGAAUCAACCCUAGGACCUUUCCUUGUGGGGCAUGAAGCCUUAAAGCACACAAAUACACCCCACCCAUGAGUUUAAGGCCGUAAACUCAUGGGGGAUAUGGCUCCAAAACCAAAAACACCCCUAGGUAUUAGCAUUUGAGGAGUAAACUCCAAAGUGGGACUAUACACUCUUCAUAUGCAACCCUUGGUACUCCUAGCACUUGUAGCAAAGUGUUUUCAUGUAGUAGGACAUCCUUACUUGCUUAAUUAGUUAUUAAAUGACUAAUUAGAUACUUAAAUGUAUCAUUAUAUGUUUAAUAGGAUCCGAGUGUGUGUUCAAGUCCCCACUUGACACCUAGCGUCCUAUACCGCCCAUUCAUCCGAAUCGCCCACGUCAGGUGAGUUCGUACCCCUAAAUUAACCUUUUAAAUGAUUUUAACUGCUUUUAUAGGGGGAAUACAAGUUGAACUGUACAGUUAUUAGAUAAAUCACAUGUGAUUAAUAACUGUAUAGCAAAAUAGAUUUUGCAUGUUAAACUGUUUAUCCAGAUUAAAGGUUUCCAAAUCAUGUUUUCGAAUCUUGUUAAAGUAUGAAUAUCCCUUUUUAGAUCAUUAUAGGUUAUCCAAAGUUUUUCAAAGUUUGUUUACUUAAGAGACAUCCAGUCGUAAUUUCUUAUCAAAGGUUUUCUUCACUUAAACCGUUUUAUACAAAUCAUUUUCAAAGUUGUUUAUGAAAGGUUUUUCAAAGGAUUCCAAAGAUUUUCAAAACUUGUUUUACAAAAUGACAUCAAGUCGUAAAUUUCUUAUGUAUGAAAGUUUUCCAAAGGUUUCAUCAAAGUUUUCCUUCUAUGCUUUUACUUCGUUAAAUGCAUGCCUAUAUUUGUAUAGUUAUAUAAAUAAUGUUUAAAGGACUUAGGAAGGCUAGUUCGCCCUAUUUCCUUUUCCUCGUUGGGAUGUGGUCUGGUGGGUAUCGGUUAUCCGUCCGAAGGUCGUUUAAACAUUAGUUAUAUAUCAUGUAUACAUGUAUAGACAUAAAGGUUUACAUCGACCAGUUCAUUUCCCUUGGGUAGCAAGGGCAUCCUUCCAUUCAUCAUUCAUAGACCAGAAACACUAGUAACUAUUAUAGGAAUAGUUAAGAGAUUCUAUUUACUCUUUCUAGUACGGAGAAUUCCAAAGGAGUCAGUUCAUUUGUGAGUCUAUAUCAUUAUUCCAGUACUUAUAAUAGAAUUCAAAAUACGAGAUGCAUCUUCAGGACACGGAUCUCCCCGUUGUCAAGUUGGUAACCAGAGUCUCCUGGAGGGAGAGCGGGCAUUGUGUGUAUAGAUCUAUACGGGACUGACACUCCCACACCCUGACUGCUAGCUACAGUCCCCGGCCUACCAAGCCAAGGGGUGACAAAUGUCACAUUUAUUCCUAUGCUUGCAGGGCGUCAAGUUCUCUAUUAUCAAUCACUAUGGUUACGAGUAUAUCUAUGUUUACCUUAUAAUUCAUGGCCUUAAGGUAACACGGUAUUUUUGAAACAACCCACUUAGGAUUACCGGAUGUUUUAGACGUUGCUAGCUGUGUCGUUCAUUCGAUACUGUCUGGAGUCUGUAUUUCCUUGUUUUAGACUUUGCUAGCUGUGUCGUUCAUUAGAUACCGUCUGGAGUAUGUGCUUCCUUUUGUUAGACUGAGACAGGUGUAUCAUUCAUUCGAUACUCUCCUGGAGUCUAUGAUUUCUUUUGCCUUAGUCAGCAGUAUUACUGCUGAGGCAUAUGUUAUUUUUCCCCUAGUAUUUUUACUAGUGAUAUUCUCAUAUUUUCUUUAAAGUCAAUACCGUAUUUUGGUAUUGAUAGUAUUUCGGGGAAAAUUACUCCUUAAAACAUAAGUCUGUCGGGUCUUUGUAGAAGACUGCUUUUAUUUAGAAAAUAUAGGAUUUUCUGGAAAGGAUGCUUAUAAACCGUAGAUUCUAAACUACUAUCUUUCAUAAAGUUAUUUUGAAUAGCAAUGCGUACUUAUACAAAUGACACUAAAUACUUAUGGACUCACCAGCAUUAUAAAAAUGUUGAUACCCGCUUUCAAAAUAACUUGUAUUCUCAGGUCAGCGAUAGACAGGUACAUUCCGGGAGCUUUUGUGAAGACAGCCUAGUACCGAGCUGCAUAUAUAUUAUUCCUUGUAUUACUUUGAUGUUGCUAUGAAAUGUAAACUAUGUAAAAAUUAUUACUAUUAAUGCAAUGGUUGUUGUACUUUGAUUACUAUACGGUAUAUGUUGUGAUACUUGACAUGACAUCAUCCACCCCAGAACGUUUCCGCCGUUCCGGUUUUUGGGGUGUGACAAGUUGCCCCGUGAUUCGUGACCAGUGGUUAGGGAUGAGAUUUAGAACCGGAAAACCAGACCGGAACCGGAACCGGACCCGUUAGAAUCGGAAUAUAUAGAACCGGGUCCGGUUCUGGGUUUAAAAAUUGGCUUUAUCCAGGUUCCGGGUAAUCCGAGUUUGGGUCCAUUGGGUCCGGGUAAACCGGGUCUAAAAUCCGGAACCGAUUUUUGGAACCGGAACCACUUUUAGGGCCGGAACCACUUUUUGUGAAACGUUUACAAGAUGCAUAUCUUAUUCGUUUCAACUCCAAUUGACAUACGGUUUUUUCCAACAUGUAGUUUAGAGUUUGUACAUGAUUCUAGACUAUAAAUUUUUCAUUUUUAGUUUUAUAUUCAUUGACUUACAGUCCUCAAAAGUUGAGAUACCAAAGCUGAAAGUUUUUAGUUUUUUAGUUUUUUUGUAUUCGGUGAAAGUUUUAAAGCAUGCAUAUCUAAUUCGUUUGAAGUCGGAUUGACAUGUGGUUUUUUCCAACUUCUAGUUUACAGUUUGUACAUGAGUUUAGACUAUAAUUUUGUCAUUUUUGGUUUAACAUUCAAUGAUUUACAGUCCUCCGAAGUCGGGAUAUCAAAACUGAAAAUUUUCAACUUUUCAGCUAUUUGUUUUUGUACUUUGUAUUAUGUGAAAAUAUUAACACAAGUAUAUCUCAUUCGUUUAAAUUCGGAUUGACAUGCGGGUUUUUCCAGAGUGUAUUUUAGAGUUUGUACAUGAUUUUAGACUCUAAUUUUGUUAAUUGUGGUUUCGUAUUCAAUAAGUUACAGCCCCCAAAGUCGGGAUACCAAUAUGAAAAUUUUCAAAGUUCAGCCCACUAAGUAGUAAGUUAUUACCAAAAAAUUCCGGUUUUUUCGGGUUUUCCGGGUCUAAACCCACUUUAUCUGGUUCCAACCUACCCACUUUGAUGUUUCCGGGUUUUCCGGUUCUAGACCCACUUUACCCGGAACCAUACCCGGAACCGAACCGGAACCGGUUCCUAUAUACCGGUCCGGUUUCCGGUUCUAUAAAAUCCCGUUAACCGGUUCCGGGUUUUCCGGGUCCGGGUCCAUCGGGUCCGGGUUUGGACCCACUUUCAUCCCUANGCGAUUCGUGACCAGUGGUAACCCGUCGAGUGAAAGGUUAACUCGACGAGUCGAGUGAGGAUUUAUGAGGAUUAAGAGGACACGCAUGGACUCGCCGAGUCAUACGAGUGCACUGGACGAGUUUGGUCAAAGUUUGACCGUUGACUAGAGUUGACUUCAGUUGACCUUAGGGUUUUGGUCAAGCUAGUUCAAGAGAGGUCAGGAAGGGGUAGAAUGGUCUUCUACCCAUUCUUUAGAAAUGAGGACAAGAGAAAGUAUUGAUUAGAGAUGCUAUUAUGCUGAUAAGAGGAGGCUAGGUUUGGUUAUCGAACACGAGAGGUUAUCUGACAUCGUACAAGGUGAGUCUUCUCACUAUACUUUACCUAGAGUGGUAAUUAUGUGACUGGAAGGUCUUAUGUGUUAUGAUGAGUAUGUGAUGCAUGUUGUUAUAUGAUAUGUAUGUGUUAUGUUAUGUUAUGAGUAUUAUGAUAUGGACUGGAAAGUCAACAGUGUAUGGGCCGGAAGGUCAAGAUGAUACGGACCAGAAGGUCAGAGAAGUGGGAUCGGAAGGUCUACCAGGACUAUGGGACGGAAGUCCCCUGAGACACAUUGACCGGAAGGUCUUGUAGAGUUGUAUCCUUAAGUGGCGUAUAUACUGUAUGUGGUAUUUUGGGGAACUCACUAAGCAUUUAUGCUUACCAUUUAUGUGAUAUGUGUUUCAGGUACCAACGAGGAUCGUGGGAAGGCGCCGGCAUGAUCUGUACACAUUGAUGGAGUUAUAUGUAUUUGAGAUCUUGGGAUUGUUUUAUUUGGAGGACAUGUGUCACAUUGGAUUUGAUAUUUCUUAUGAAUGAAAUUAUAUUUUAAAAAUGAAAAAAAAAAAAUUGUUUUGGAAAUUCACGUUGUUACAUCUCUACUGUUUGUUUUUGUUACGCACUUGGUCCCUAAUGUUUGUUUUUGUUACGCGCCUGGUCCCGAUCUUACCUAAAAAUAAUAUUAUUUAAACAAAAAAAUGGUGAGAUAGGUAAGGUAAGGUGAGAGAGGUGGGUUGGGGUGUAUCUAUUUAAAUAAAUUAAAAAAUUAAGGAAAAAAUAGUCUUUUUAGGUAAGACAGCGACCAAGCGCGUAACAAAAACAGAUAAUAGGGACCUUCCGAGUUAAAAAAAUAAGUUAAAGACCAAACACGCAAAUUACCCCAAACCAUAAAGAUCAUUCGUGUAACAAAAUAACUAUGAAAAAUCAAUAGGUUGACAAGUGGCAUGACAUUAAUUAGGAGAUCUAAUAUGGUGACACAUAGCAAAAUAACUAUUUCAUUAUUAGUAUAUAGAGAUUUUGUUCCAAUAAAAUAGUACAAAACAAGAUUUCGAUGAGUACAAAAUAUAUCAAGAUAAAGAUAUGAAUCACAAAUCACAAACAAUCUAAAAUGGUAGUUGAUUUUUCCGAUGAAUGAUUUAAUACUUCAAAGGAAUAAUUAAUGUAUGAACUUAAUAUAUGGAUAAUUAAUAUAGGAGCUAAUAAUAUAAGAUCUUAUAUAUUUUUACGUAAAUAAUAAUCCUUAACCUAAAUACCAGUUUUUUUUUUCAAAAUAAAAUCAUACAUCAACUCGGAAAUCCAUAUACGUACGACGAUCUUCUCCAGCCCGCUAUUUCCGUUCAUCUUCAAUUGGUAAGAUUCAAAAUCACUAUUAUUAGUCAUAAAAAGAAAAUUACAAAUAUCAAAAUAAUAUGUCAAUAGUUAAUUAAUAUCUCAUUGAUUUAGUUAGAAAUUUUGUUAGGUCUUUAAAUCACAUAAAAAAGAAUAAGGGCCUGUUUGAUAAGUCUUCUAAUUGGGUACAAAAUUAGGACCCGAUACUUAAUCCCCAAUUAGCUUGUUUGUUUUGUCUUUAGCAUCCUUGGACUCGGUCCAACUCAGGGACUCGGUCCCUAAUUUUAUGCUGAUUCGGUCCUCCAACAAAAAGAAGCCGACUCGAUCCUUUUUUUUUCUUUCACGUAUUUUCCCUUCAUCUUUGUUACUCCUGUACGCCUUUGCUUCUUCCUGAAGGUCAUCUUCGAAUGAUUGUGGUCGUAGUUGUGGCCUCCUCUUAUCGAAAUUAAGGGAGACUUUGACUUAAUUUUCGCUAGUAGACAACAACCACAAGAACGGAUCUCGGCUUCGGAAGAUGACAUCGAUUGGGUGAAGACCCAGGUCGAAGUGAAUGGACUGCAUAUGCAGGAUAAUGUAUAUUAACAAUCUGUAUAGAACAAUUUCAGAAAACUAUAUGAAAACUACUAGAAGAACAUAUUUUUUGAUCGGUGGGUUCAUAAAAAUGCAAAUUUGAAAAGAUCUGGAAGAUGAAGAAGGGAUUAGAUUUAAGAAAAGUGAAUAUUACCUUCGGAUUGGAAGAUGAAUUGUGAAGCAAAGAAUGUGAAAGCUGGAAUUAUGGAAGGAAGAGUAGUGAAGGAGCUGCCAAAACCUUACGCCUAAACAAGAAGAUGAGACACUCUAAAGAAGGGAAAAUUGGGUAUGUUUAUGUUAGAGCAAGAAAAAGUGAAGCAACAGAUAACAAUAGUCUUGCUAAAAGGGUACUUUCUAUAUUCUUGAAUUUCCAUUUUUACCCUUCAUCCACUUUAUUCCAAAAUGUAGUAUGAAUUAUAUUAUAUGUACAACAACACUACUUCAUCGUGUUAAAAUAGCAAAAUACAUAUUGUCAAAUAUUAUUAUUUUAUUUAUAAUAUUAUUUUUAUAUUUUAAUAACUUAUAUUUGUAGAUGACAAAAUAUAAUAAUUAAUAACUAUAGGUGUAAGUGAGUCGAGCAAUUCGUAUGUGGUUAUAAGGGUAAUAUCGUCAUUUUUUUAUCAUUCAUCAUAGUCGGUCAGAAAAAUAAUCAAACAACAUAAACUCAGUCAGAUGUGGACUCGGUCAGAACUUCUAACUCAGUCUGCUUCUAACUCAGUCAACUCUAAUUCAGUUAGCAACUAUCAAACGACCCCUAAGAAAAGUUACAGUGACCACAUGUGCUUUUAGUUUGAAUAAUUACAUGUUUUUCGGAUGUUAGUUUCAAAUCACGUAAGAAGUAAACAUAUAUUAAGUUUUGAAUAUGAUUGUUUUUCUUGAACCACAUAUAAUUUAUAUGAUUGUUUUUGAAUAAUUACAUGAUUGUUUUUCUUGAACCACAUAUAACUUAUAUGUGGUUCAAAAAUAAUUUAAUUAGCCACUUUUUAGAUUUCCUUCUUUUUUAUUCGUAUUCAAUUACCGAUUUCCUCAAAUACUGAAUAUCAAUCUGAUUAUUCUUUCUUCAUUUUUAAUCGUAAUUCGUUAAUCUUUAUCUCGUUUGAAUCGGAUAUAUCGGAAUUCAUUAUCAAGAUUCUUUCUUUAUAUAAUUCGUUAGCAAUUACACAUAUUUGUUCAAUUUGCGUCGUUUUAUGCAUUUAUCGAGAAGUUUUACAUCUGUAUUGCAAUUGUUUAAUCAAAUAUUUGUUGUGAAGUUUGAGAUAUGUAUUGCAAUUGCAUCAUCUGAUCGGAGCUGGUUUAAUUUCCAAGCAGAUCGUUUUUACGCUCUGAAGUGAGACAAAUUCGAAAUUGAUCAAGGUUUCAUAUGAUCUAUAUUGCAAUUACAACAUCUGAUCGAAGUUGAUUUAAUUUUCAAGCAGAUCGUUUUUUGGGUUUUUUGUUUUAAUUUUGGUGUCGUUCAGUUUAUAUUUUAUUUUAUCAUGAUUUUCAUCGAUAUUAAGAUUGUUUUUGUUGUUUAUUACAAUUUAAUUGGUUUAUCAUGUCAAAUUCGAGUGUUAUUGAUGGUGAAUUGUAUUCUUCCAUGUAUGAGAGUGAAAAAGAAGAUGUUGAUUACUCAUUUAUUGAAGACAUCACUAAUUAAAUUCUUAUCUUGUUUUUAAUUUUGUUGAUGAUCAUGUAUUUACAUAUGAAUCUAUAAAUCUGAAUAAAUUAUUUUCUUAUUUGUAUAUGAAUAAACGUGUGAUAAUUGUAAUUUUGAAUUUAUUAUUAAUUUUGUUUUAUUCAUAUAUGAAUAAGUACUGUUUUUAUUUUAUAUUUUUUUGAAUCAUAUGAAUUUCAUGUAUUCAUAUAUGAUUGUUUUAUCCAUACAUUCAUAAACAUUAUUUUUUGGUUUAUUCAUAUGUGAAUAAAGUGUGUCUUUGUGUUUAUUAUUGAUUAUAAUAAAGUGUCACUAGAUUGACUUAGAUUUUAUAAUUAUUUAUUAGUUAAAUCUCCGAGUUCAGUAGAUGAUUGUAGUAAUGUAAUUGGAGAACAUGUCUAUAAGUCAAAUGUACCUAUUUAAUUUAUUCCAUUUGAAUGUUUAAUCUUCAAAUCAUUAAAUUGGUCAUCAAAAUGUAUUCUGAAUAUGCUGAAACUGGUGGUUUUGAUAUGUGACUGAGCACACGGAUAAUGUUUGAUAACAAGAUUAUAAAGAAAAAACAUGUUAUAUGUAAUCGUGGUGGCAAACAGAAAAAGAAAUCUUGUGACACAUUGGGUACAAGUGGUGUUAGGAGGAAACGAAAUUCAAAUUCAAGAAUUAUUGGUUGUCAAGCAAAGAUUAUAUUUAAAUUUGUGUAUGGAACUCCAGAUUAUAAAGUUUUUCAGUUUGAUAAACUUCACAACCAUCCACUUGAGAUGAGAAGUGAUUUAAAAAAAAAAAAAUGAGACAAAGGUUAUAUUCAGAAAAAGAGUUUAUAGUGUGUUUCCACAUCAAAAAUAGGCUCAAAUAUGGCUCAUAAGUUGAAGGCAAGUCUUAGAGGUAACUAUGAGUUUGUAAAGCCUGACUCAAAUAUUCGAUUAAAUUAAAAUUAUAAAAAUAAAAUUUUAUGAUUCAGUUGAAUAAAUCAAAAAUCAGAAUACACGAAAGAAAAAUGUCAACAACAAUGUAAACUUAUAAUUAUAAAAUAAAAUACAAAAAAAAUGAAUUAUAAAUAAAAUGAUUAAAUAAUAAAAAUAAGAGUAAAUUACACGAAUGGUCCCUAUGGUUUGGGGUAAUUUGUACGUUCGGUCCCUAACUUAUUUUUUUAAGUCGGAAGGUUUCUACUGUUUGCUUUUGUUACACGUUUGGUCCAUAUUAUUUGUUUUUGUUACACACUUGGUCCUUGUAUUGCCUAAAAAAACUAUUAUUUAAAUAUGGAAAAAUGAUGGGAUGAGUAAGGUAAGAUGAGGGUAGCAAGGUUGAGGGUGUUUAUUUAAAUAAAUUAAAAAAUCAAGGGCAAAGUAGUACUUUUAGGUAAGAUAGAGACCAAAUGCGUAACAAAAUCAAAUGAUAGGGAUCUUCCGAGUUAAAAAAUAAGUUAGGGACCAAACGCACAAAUUACACUAACCCAUAGAGACCAUUCGUGUAAUUUACUAUAAAAAUAAACUCGGUAGUGGACUAUUAUGAUAAUUGGGCCUUAAUGGUAUUUAUUUAAUGAAUGGUGCUUGUGUGAUGCAUGGCUUCAAUUUGAGGACUAUUUGAGGAAUAUAAGAUGGAAUAGCGUAAUACAAGAAAAAAUACUAAUAGUCCCAUUCAUAACGCCUGGAUUCGAUCAUGGUACGCAAGUAUGGAGUGAAAAAUGCUUUAACCAUCUCGCCUCUUAUCAAGAUGGGCCCAGUGUGGUCGCACACCCAACACAUACUUAGGGCCGACCCUGAAAUUAUUUAUUGGAGUUUAAUUGUCAAUAUGAUGUUUUGGACUCUAUAUUUUGGGCCGAUGAAAUGGAGAAAACAUAUUACGUUGAAUUUGGUGAUGUUAUCUCAUUUGAUGCGAUUUUCCGAACAAACAAAUAAGUUAUUUUAUCUAGUUUUUUAUAGCUUAUUUAUAUAUGAAUAUUUUAACUUUAUGUUUAAUGUCCAGUUUUGAAUAUUGAAAUUAUUUUAAUAUAAUUUUAUAUUUAUGUUUUAUUAUUAUUAUUAUUAUUAUUAUAACUCUAUUCAUGCAUGAAUAGUUUUAUAUUCACUUAUGAAUACAUCAAAAAUUGACUUUAAUAAACAUUUUUUUUAAUGUUAUAGGUAUGGAAUGAUUUUUGUUUCAUUUACUGCUAUUGACCAUCAUAAAAAGUCAAUUACUGUUGGAGCGGGGUUGCUAAGAAAUAAAAACAUUGAGUCUUACUAUUGGUUACUUAAAACGUUUCUUAAAAUUCAUAGGAAAAAACCAACACUAGUUUUAAACGAUCAAGAUAUGACAAUAAAACAAGUUAUUAAGAAUGUGUUUCUUAAUUCAAAGCACAUAUUAUGUAUGUAAUCUAAGAAACCUGGUUUCUAGAUUCAAUUUCGAUGGUUUCCCUAUUUAAAAUGCAAAAUGUUACUUUAAUGACAUAUUGCCUUAAAAAUUAAUGAUCAAUUCGGAAUAAACACCAAAUUUGGUUGUGUUACAGUAUCAAUUUUCAUUUAUAACAUUACUAUAAACAAUUUUCAAUAUUUAUUUUAAAAUCAUCUUUAAAUUCGCAAACUAUUAAAAUUUUCGUUCUUAAUUGUAUUUAUUUAGCUAUAUGAGGUUGUUCUCAAAAAGUCAAAAUUGGUGUUGUCCUAAAUGAUUGAGGUCGUUUGAAAUUAUUAAUAUCAAAUAAUGUAUCUAUUGAGUUUUUUUAUUUGUAAUUUGGUGAUAAAGUCAAAACGUUUAUUGAUAAAAUAAAGUCAUAAAAAUUGAUGAAUAUCAAAUACUUUAAACUAUAAUACCUGAUAAAUUUGACUCGAUUAUUCUUUAUUUUUCCUAUACAACAUUUAAUGGUGACCCGUAAAUGUUGUUGACUAGUAAAACAUUAUGAAAUGAUUACAUAGCGAACCAAAGAGUUGUUCCUGAUUUUAUUAUCACAUACCUCAACUAUAUUAUAUAGUUGCGUAUUUUUUUUGUUCAAAUAAAGAUGGUGAAAAUGAUUUAUAUGGCUUCACAUAAAAAUUUCUAAUCUACAAAAUUGUAUAUAAAACGUUCUUUUAGUACAAACUAAAAUAAAAUUCUCUCUUUUUUACAUAAAAUGUCCCAAUCUAAAGAGCAAAUUCAGAGCGUGUUCGAUUGACCACGAGUGAGACACCGAGGCGCGUUUGGAUCUGUGAUCAGUCAUUAUUGUUCAUCUGGUCUUCCAUUGGUCUAUUCGACCUUAACAACCACUUGCUUUUGGCUCACCGAAGCUUCAAAAUACUCACUGUUUUUUCUGUUUCGAUUAAGUUCCCUGAUUUUCCUUUCCUCACUCUCUCGCUAAACUGAUCAACUAUCUGCAAUGGUGGAAAGCUACCUAGGCGACGAGUUUCAUCUUCCGCCUAAGAAUCCGUCGGAUGAAGCACUGAAGAACUGGCGCAAAGCCUGCUACCUCGUCAAGAACCGUAGCCGAAGAUUCCGGCAUGUCGCAGACCUCCCUAAGCGGUCUAUUCAUCGGGAUAGGAUUUCCAAAAUCAAGGUUCCAUUACUCUCCUUUAACCUUCCAACCUAGCUAAUUACUAUUUUGUCGAUUGAAUGAUUUCAGAUCUGUGUGUUUUAAUGUAUAUAUGCUGUGUGUGAACAAAGUAAAUCACUGAAAUCAUCUGGUAAAUACAACAGUCGAAACGAUUAUUCGAUUAUAAGUUAUAACCAUCGACAUUAAAAACUACUGAUUCCUGAUUGGAGAGUUAUGAAAAUGCUGGAUUCUUUUUCCUUUAUCUAUCGUUCUUAGUUUUCCGAGCAUACAUAUCACUGUUCUUCAUUAUACCCAAAAUCUAUUGAAAUGAACAAAUUUAGUUAUUAAUUUAUUAUGUGUCUAUGGUAAUUUGUUUGUAAUACAAAAGGUGGGAUCUGAUCCUGUAGAUUAUCAAAAGAAAAUGCCUUCACAUUUAGACAACUUUUAGUUUGAAACACCAUACUUGUUUUUAUUGACUUCUGACAUUGUUUUUGAUGAUGAUGAGACAUUCAUGAUAAUUAUCUUUAUCUUUGCGUUAUAGUGUUAUUUAUGUGGUAUAGAGACUAUUGAGGGAUCACGAUCAUACAACAUUAUGAUAAGUAAAUUCUAUAUGAAAUAUAAUAAAAUGAUAACAGUGAAGAUGCUGUGUUUGCGGGGUCGGAGAAAUAACAAAAUUGGCAAAUAUCUAUAUAUAGUAUAUUAUUUUAAGGUUUUUCCUUAUCGUGACCACUCGGCUCAUGUUAGCGAAACCUGUAAUUCCCACUCGUUAUUGUAACUUUUUCCCAAAGAACCUUAUUUCUUCAGUAUUUUAAGAAGAAAAAAUAAAUAUAGCCCAAACAUGACUUUUUGUUCGGAAAGUAACCUUUCUAUUAUAAUUUUUUAUUGGGUAAAGAAUCAUAUUCGUGAAGUUUAUCAGAUGCGUCUUUCAUAAUUCCGUUAAAUUUAUAGAAUUGAUAAUCGUUAUCUUUUUUCUUUAAAAUAUUAAGCCUUGAUUUAUAUUUUAGAGGCUGUUAUAACUACCUUGGUUGUUUGGUGGAGACAACUUGUUGAGCCUAACCAACAUCAACAUAUAGAUGCUUUUCAUAAAUUUGGUCAAGCACUUAAAGUCCAUGGUAAAAUGUAUUUAAAUUCUUCGAAAGAGAAAAUGUUUAUAUUAAACUUAAGGUAAACUUUCAAAUAAUAUAAUGAUUCUAACUUUAUCUAUUUUUUAUUUUCUUAACAUAAUGUUUCUAUCAGGUGAUAAAAUUUUCAAGAUCCCUUUAUCCAGAAUAGAAGUUAUUUAGGAAAUUUAACUAGUAUUUCAGAAAAGAACCUUCAGACUUGUGACAGCUUCCUCGAAAUUUCUCUCCAUUUUUCAGACUUUUGAGCUCCACUAAUUAAAAUCUCCAAUCAUCGAUUGCUUUGCCACAUUAUAUCUCCACUAUAACUUUAUCAUACCAAAUAUUAUUAACUUAAAUCAUCUCAAUCAUUGUCAUUUUUGAAAAUUUUUACAAAAUUAACCAAAAUUAUUUUAUAAAUCCUCUUAUCUAAUUUUAUCGGCAUCCAACCUAUGGACAAAAGACAAGAAAAUGGUUAAAAAGGUUGUAAGUUACUCAAUACAUAGUUUUGAGCAUACGAUGAUUUACGUAAUUUAGUCUAAUACAAAAUUAACAAACGAAGAUACAUAAAUAGUAAAUACUGAUCGGUUCUGGUGACUUCAUGGAACAAAUUCAUGAUAAAUUUUGGAAUUACAAAAUAUCCUCAUGCCUUUAAUAAAUCAUUUUAAAUUGGGUAAAUGACACAAAAAAACACUCUUUUUAUACAGAAAUUCGAUUUUGAUACCGUUUUUUUUUUGUCAAUUUUGACACUGUGUUUUUCAAUUUGUUACAAUUCUGACCACUUGACCGGUUAAUCAGGUUACAUGCUGAUGUGGCAUGAUGACGUGUCAGUUUUGAUGACGUGGCAUGCUGACGUGUCAAAAUUGAUUUUUUUUUUACAAAAAACAUUAAGUUUUCAUUUUUUCGAUUUUGACACUAAGUUUAAUAUUUUCUUUCAACUUUGACUCUAUGUUUUUUUGUUUCAAAUCGAACAUUAUUUUUUUCAAUUUUGUUCAAUGUUGACAAUUUUUUAUUUGAAACCGUAUAAAUAUUUUUUUAAUACAUUUAAACCGUAUAAAUAUGUUUUUUUUCAUUUAAAAACCAUAGUUUUGUAAAAAUAUAUUUUUUUUACACUCAAACCAUAUUUUUAUGUAUAAAUAUGAAUUAGUUAUAUAAAAAUUGUAGUUUAUAUUAAAUAUGCAACUUUAAAAUGUGGUUUUUAAACGAAAAAAAUAUGCUUAUACGGUUAAAAUGUAAUAAAAAAAUAUAUUUAUACGGUUUCAAAUGAAAAAUAGACAAAAUUGAACAAAAUUUGAUAAAUGAUGCUCGAUUGGAACAAAAAAACAUACUGUCAAAAUUGAAAUAAAAAAUUAAACUUAGUGUCAAAAUCGAAAAAAAAUGAAAACUUAGUGUUUGAUGUGGGAAAAAAAAUCAAUUUUGAUACGUCAGCAUAUCAUGUCAGCAUGCCACGUCAUCAAAACUACCACGUCAGCAUGUAACCUGGUUAAUCGUUCAAGUUGUAAGAAUUGUAACAAAAUUGAAACACAGUGUCAAAAUUAACAUAAAAAAAACACGGUGUCAAAAUCGAAUUUAUGUGUAAAAAGAGUGUUUUUUUGUGUCAUUUAGCCUUUUAAAUUGGGUAAGUUAUGAAGUGGCUUAUUUUUUGCACACAUGUUCAGUUCUAUUAAGAAUUUUGAAGAGUGCACUUUCAGUCUUCAUCUUCUCCCGAUCUCUCACUUUAGUUUCACCAAGUUCUCCCUUUGUAUGCAAUGUUCAUACUUGCAAAGAUUAAUUGGAACUUUAUUUAUUUAUUAAUCUUAACUACCCAAACCACCUCAUGACUAUAGUUACAUUCAUAUGAUAAAAAGCUAAUAAUGUUCUCUCUUUUGUCUUCAACGUUCCCAGGAAAACCUGCGGGUUAGCUUUUACACUGUGAGAGCAGCAUUGCGAUUUAUGGAUGGUAUGCUACUGCUCCUUGCGAUAAUUGAAAUGCUGCAUGAAAUCAAUCAACCGUUUCUUUCUAAUUAACCAUCGGAGUUCUGUUAUGUCUUUAUCCAUUAUACAUUCAUUAAUAACAAAUUAAUACCACCUUAUUACAAAUUUGCAAUCCUGUCUCAACAGGCGCUCCUCAUUUAGAAAAUCAUCAAACACCAGAUGCAAAAGCCUCCGACAUCCGUAAUAAUCCAGAUAACCUCGCAUCCAUGGUUCAAAACUAUAGCAUCAAAACGUUACGAUCGCUGGGUGGAGUUGAUGGAGUCGCUAAAGCCAUAGACGUAUCUAUAGAUGAAGGCGUCAAAUCCACGGAUUUAUCCAUUAGACAAGACACUUACGGCGUCAACAAAUACACAGAAAAGCCUUCGAAAAGCUUUUUUAUGUUCGUCUGGGAGGCUCUUCAUGAUCUAACUCUCAUCAUCCUUAUAGUCUGUGCAGUUGUUUCCAUAGGUGUAGGCCUCGCCACGGAAGGCUUUCCAGAUGGAAUAUACGAUGGAUUGGGAAUCCUUCUUAGUAUUUUACUAGUAGUUACCGUUACUGCCGUUAGCGACUACAGACAAUCCUUACAAUUCAAGGAUUUAGACAAGGAAAAGAAGAAGAUUUCAUGUCACGUAACCAGAGAUGGAUACCGGAAAAAGGUGUCGAUUUACGAUUUGGUUGUCGGAGACGUCGUCCAUUUAUCAAUCGGCGAUCAAGUUCCGGCCGAUGGAAUAUUCAUAUCUGGAUACAGUUUGUUGAUCGACGAAUCUAGUUUGACCGGAGAGAGCCGUGCAGUCAACGUAGACGAGACUAAACCGUUUCUUCUCGGUGGGACCAAAGUCCAAGACGGCUCAGCCAAGAUGCUUAUAGCCGCCGUCGGGAUGAGAACCGAAUGGGGAAAAUUAAUGGAAACUUUAAGCGAAGAGGGAGAAACCGAAACCCCACUUCAAGUCAAAUUAAACGGCGUCGCUACAAUCAUCGGUAAAAUCGGUUUGAUCUUCGCAGUGUUGACUUUUCUUGUCUUGACUAUCCGGUUCUUAAUAGAAAAAGCAUUGCGACAAGAGUUUUCAAGCUGGAAUUCGAGUGACGCAUUAACUAUGUUAGACUAUUUUGCCACUGCAGUAACCAUUAUCGUUGUUGCUGUCCCGGAAGGACUGCCAUUAGCCGUGACUUUAAGUCUCGCGUUUGCUAUGAAAAAAUUGAUGAACGACAAGGCACUCGUGAGACAUCUAUCUGCAUGUGAAACAAUGGGUUCUUCCACUAACAUAUGCACCGAUAAAACCGGGACAUUAACCACGAAUCAUAUGGUCGUCGACAAAAUAUACGUAUCCGGUAAGACAAAAGACGUAAACGACCCUCCGGAACUCCCUGAAAACGUGUUGACCAUUCUGUUACAGUGUAUAUUCGAAUGUACAUGUUCCGAAGUGGUCAAGGGUACCGAUGGAAAAACUUCAAUUCUAGGCACUCCUACCGAAUCCGCGAUAUUGGAAUAUGGAUUACAUUUAGGUGGUGAUUUUGGGACAGUUCGUAGCGAGAUUAAGCUACUAAAAAUGGAGCCGUUUAAUUCUUCCAAAAAGAGAAUGUCGGUCAUUACGAAACUGCCUGGCGGGCAGAUACGCGCCUUUAUCAAAGGCGCGUCUGAAAUAGUAUUAGGAAUGUGUGACAAGUUAUUGGAUGGAAGUGGAGAAAGUGUUGUAAUGUCGGAAGAGAAAGUGAGAUUUAUUACGAGUGUUAUAAAUGGAUUUGCCAGUAAUGCUUUGAGGACUCUUUGUUUGGCUUAUGUUGAUGUGGAAGGGGAAGGUGAGUUUGAUAUGAAAAAAGAGUUGCCAAAUUGUGGGUAUACGCUGAUUGCGGUUGUUGGUAUUAAGGAUCCGCUUAGGCCAGGGGUUAAGGAAGCAGUGGAGACUUGUUUAGCAGCUGGGAUUACUGUUCGUAUGGUUACGGGUGAUAAUAUUAACACGGCUCGAGCCAUUGCCAGGGAAUGUGGUAUACUGACUGAUGGUGGGUUAGCCAUUGAAGGGCCAGUGUUUCGAGCUAAAUCAGAUGAAGAAAAGCGUAAACUAGCACCGAGCAUUCAGGUACAAACAAAAAAACGUGGUAAUGGCUAGAUCAAAUGUAACUAUUUUUUUUUUUUUUUCUUUUCCUGUAUUUUGAAACUCAGGAGAAUAGGUCGUUAGUUCUCCAAGACAAGUAAUGACUCACAAUCCUUAAAUACAUUACAGGUAAUGGCUAGAUCAUCACCAACAGACAAGUUAAAGCUUGUAGAGCAUUUGAGGGGUCUGUCUGAAGUUGUUGCAGUCACGGGUGAUGGGACAAAUGAUGCUCCAGCUUUACAUGAAUCAGAUAUCGGAUUCGCCAUGGGUAUAGCAGGAACAGAGGUUGGUUUGUGCCUCAUAUUCAUGUCAAUUUAAUAUUAAAAACUUAAGUUAAUGAAAAAACAAUCCCAUAUUAUAUAAUAUAUUGGUAAGAAGAAGCUGAUGUCUGUCAUAAGUCAUCCUGCCAUCUCAUCUGUAGGUUGCAAAAGAACAAGCUGAUGUAAUCGUGUUGGAUGAUGAUUUUGCAACAAUCGUAAAAGUAGCAAAAUGGGGACGUGCAGUUUACAUAAACAUUCAGAAGUUUGUUCAGUUUCAGUUAACUGUCAACAUCGUUGCUCUAAUGAUUAAUUUUGUUUCAGCCUGCAUUACAGGUUUGUUCAAUCGUAUUCUUUAUUAGUCUUUCUUUGCUUUUCCACAUAUUUUUAACUUACAUAAUUACAUUGGUUUGAAUAUUUUUCAGGGUCUGCACCCCUUACUGCUGUACAGUUGCUAUGGGUGAACCUGAUCAUGGACACUUUAGGUGCGUUGGCUCUAGCCACCGAACCACCAAAUGAUGGACUCAUGAACAGACCACCUGUUAAACGAACCGAAAGUUUUAUUACAAAGACCAUGUGGCGCAAUAUUAUUGGCCAAAGUGUUUACCAAAUGGCUGUCCUAUUCGUCUUGAAUUUCGCUGGAAAAUCCAUUCUCAAUUUGGACUCAACUGAAAUCCUCAAUACUUUCAUCUUCAACACCUUCGUCUUCUGUCAGGUACAAUUUAUCUUUUUUUUGAAAAUUGCAACGUACUUUUUCAUUUACUUGUGUUGUGCAUUUUAACAGUUUUUUGGAUAAUUGUGUAUGUGUAGGUCUUUAAUGAAGUAAACAGCCGGGACAUUCAUAAGAUAAAUGUGUUUCGUGGCAUGUUGAGCAGUUGGAUUUUCGUUGGUGUCAUGGUGUCUACUGUUGUUUUUCAGGUUAUUAUUGUUGAGUUCCUUGGCACUUUUGCAAGCACUGUGCCACUAGACUGGGAACUCUGGGCACUUAGCAUUGCAAUUGGGUUCUUGAGCAUGCCAAUUGCCAUUGUUUUGAAGUGCAUUCCUGUUGAGAAGUCACCCGUGAAACACCCCAAACACCCUGAUGGUUACGUUAUCAUCCCUGGUGGCCCAGAAGGUGUUUGAUGAAUUGCCAAAAAGAACAUAAACAAACCCAACUUCAGGUUUAUGAAGCAUUUAUAAUUACAAGGGUACUUCUCAACUGUUUUUUUUUUUUUUUCGGUGGUUAGACAAACAACCCUAACAAUAGCUCAAAGCUUCCAUAACUCAACAAUUUUGAUGCACCCGUAUGUACCAUUUGGAAUUUCGAAUUUCGUAUCAUCUAAGUCAUGCAAAAUCCUAAGCAUAAUCAUCUCUAAACGGUAACAAUUAUACAACACAUAUCAACUUCACUAUUUAGUAUUCACUCCCCCACAAAAUGAAGACCACGAUUGGCAUCUAACGCAAUUAUAUAUAAGAAUGGGGACACUAUAAUUGGUAUCUAACUCUUCCCAAUAAUAAAUGGAGCUAGAUCAAAUUUUCUCAUAAGCUCUACUAUACUGACUAAAUUGCAAACAUCGUUUUCAUUUGUAUCUCCUUUUGGCUUCUCCAUAAGCAAUCACACCCAUAACAGUCAAGGAGUAGCCAGCUAUACCUAAAGGGGUAACCGGAUUACGGAAAAUGAGUAUUGAGAUAACAACCGCUACAGCACCUUUAGCAUUCCCUAAUACCUGACCAUACCAUAUACAAAUACUUCAACUUAAUUUGCAGUAUUAAAAAAAAAAAUCAUGGCUAAAUUCGCAAGCUUGAUCCAUGAAUAUGGAAUGUACUAAGUUUGAACUCAGAAGUCAAAAUAGUGAGCAAGAAGAAACAAGCAACCUGAAGAGUUAGUGCACUUGUGUGCUUGGUGACCAAGAAAUUGGUCAAGUUAGCAGCAUAAGCCAUGGUUGAAUUCACAGAAAGCAGUAACCACAUGAAUCUAUGCUUUAACCCGAGAGCAAUGGUGGCAUCUAACACAUCUGGUUCCAUUAAAAGUGCUGUUGGCAAUAAAAACACAACAGCCAUUGGGGACAUAUAAAGCAAAAGGUUCAUUGAAUUUAACUUCUCCCUGCAACAAUAAAAUCAUUAAAUGUACAUUCACAUACUUGGCUCCAUUGACAUACUCCAAGUCAAAAACAAAUUUACAUAUACACCCUUAGCAGAAAGUAGAAGUUAGUUCAUUUACCCCUCUGAAGAAAGUAGGAUACCCUGAAGAACAGACUUGAAGGCCCUAGCAGCAGUUGCACUUAUGCACAUGAUAAAUCCAUACAGCUGAAAACUUGGUUCACCCUGUAAUAACAAACAAUUUGACUUAUUAUUUUUGCCUCGCUUAAACAAAAUCUCAACAUUACUCUCCAUGGGAAUGCGUAAUUUGUUGUUUCUUUUUUUACUUACUACAGUAAUGUAGAUAAAGUAUAAGUUGUUCUACAUUGAAGCUUUUAUAUAGUAUGUUGAUUAAGAUGCCAAUUGCAUUAGAGGAUUGGGUUGACAUGUUUUUCAAUAAAAAGAUGAAAAUGGGCCUUAAUGAAAAGUUACAAACAAUAAAUAAUAAUAAUACUAAAAAAAUAAAUAAAUAAAUAAAAUAAAAAUAAAAAUAAAAAAAUAAAAAAAUAAAACUAUAUGGCUUCAAUGUAGAUGUCAAAGAAAAUGUAAACACAUCCCUGGCCACCCCAACGACUAAAACAUAGGGAAUACAACAACAAAACGUAUAAAAGGGAAACAUAUACAGACAAUAAAGCAUAAAGCAGGUAUACAGAUAUUAUGUAAAGAAAUUGUAAAGCAUGUAUAUACAUAGGGAAUACAACGAAACAGGAGAUAUUAUGUAAAGAAAUUGUAAAACAUGUAUAUACAUAGGGAAUACAAAGAAACAUAGGAAAUACAACGACAAGACCCAUAAAGCCUAAGCAGAUACAAACAAUAAAAACAUAAAGCAAUUAUACAAACAUUUUAUAAAAAAGUGUAAAACACAUCAAUGGCCACCCGACAACCGAAACAUUGGGAAUACAACGAAAAAAACUAAAAAAGGGAAACAUAUAGACACAAUAAAACAUAAAGCAUGUGUAAAGACAUCAAAGCAUAAAUGCUUACAUUGUCCUUUAUAUGUUUUUACAUUGAUGCUUUUAUUGUUUAGCUCAAAAAGUUUCCAUAAUAAACGUCUCCAUAUAGAUUAAUCAAGUUAUGGACUUCUUUAUAUUAACAUGGCAAAUUGGCAAAUACUUUAUGAACUUCAAAUUCAAUAACGAAUUCAGUUGACUAUUAAAAGUCAAGAUUGGCAAUCUGUAAUGGCAUAUAUGGUAAGAUUAAAACCCAGAUCAUAAACCACUAAAAUAAAUCUUAUCUUAAUUCUGUCAUUUUAAUAAAAUAAGACGUGAACAUGAUACAUACCCCGCUUGCAAUCACAACGCCAGUAACAACAGGAACAAGAGCACCAUAAGUAAUCCAUGCUUCUCUUUUGAAGGUCAUCAUAUAGGCAAACAGGGCGGUGAAAAACGGCGUCGUUGCACCGAUGGCUUGAUUGAAGGAAACCGGAAGAAAUCUGAGAGAAAUAUUCCCUCCGACAACCGACCCACAAAAAACAACACUCAGGGUCGCAAUCCUUAAAAACUGCGACCUAGAUUUGAUCUUCUGAAAUGGCACAACUUUGAGGAACACAAUGGAGAUGUAGCUGAGGAUGCCGGAAGCUGACAUAUGACACAUUGUGAGGAAAAUUGGGAAUCUGAAGCCAUAACUGGAGAGCAAGAACUUGUUGAGGAGAAGAACGCCGAUGUUUGAUGAGUACCAGAGGAAUAUGAGUAAUGAGACGAACACAAAUUGGUUUGAUGAUGAUUGUGAGAUUGAUGAUGAUGAGGAGGUCGUAGGUAACAUUUUUUCUGGGUUUUUCCCUUUAAAAAAAUCAAGGAUUUGAAGGAGGAGGAAGAAGGUGGGUAGUCAUUGGGGUUGAAACAAUGGUGGCAAAAACAUUCGAUUUCGGGUAUCUAAAAUUACAUGGAAUUCAACGUGAUGAUUUGUGCGGUGAAAUUAUCGUGGCAUUUGGGCAGGUGAGGUGGGAUGGAGGUUUUUGAGGAGGAAGUGUGUCAUUGUCACAAGGCAACAAUCGGGUCAAAACGCCAAUUUGUUUGAUUUGUGAUGACGCAAGGGUAGUGUCAUUACUCAUUACUUUCUUAGAUAAUCCAGAAUUUAUUUAAUAAUAUGAAUAUGAAUUCAUACAAAUACAAUGUUAGAGAAUAUUACAUCAUCUCUAUGGUAUGGUAUGUUGCUUUUUAAUUGUGGCAGAAUUUUGUUGUGGAUUUGAUCUUUCAACUUAACUUAACUAACUACAAUUUUUUUUUUAAUUAUCGAUCUGCCCUUAUUUUUAUUUUUUUUUUAAGUUUUUCUCAUUAUUUAUAUCAAUGUUAUGGAUGAAGCCUACCACAUCCAUGUAGAGCUUUACCAUCUAAAGUCCUAACAAACAUGUCUAUUCCAAUCCACCAUAUCAAAACCACCAAAACAACAAAAAUCAGCAUCGAUGAUUGGUGACAGCCAUCUCCACCGCUACAUCUUUCACUUUGUGGCCAUUAAACAUCAAUAUACCAAUGCUAACUUUGCCAUAAAAUCCCAUCAGUACAUAAUUGCCAAACUCCUACAACAAACAUGGUUCCUAACGUCUUAUGGUUCCUUGAGAAUCUUCAUUUUAGUGCAAACUUCAAAAACCGUUGUGCCUUUAAAAUAGACGAUGUCUUAGGCGAUCAAUAUUGAAUACUUUUUGAAGAUGGAUCUACAAAUUCGUGGUUUAGGUUUUAAAAGAAAAACAUGUCGCCUCCUUCCUCGUUAUUCGAUAUCACUUUCUGCCCCAUUAUUCACAACCAUCCAUACUCUUGUAGACCACUUACAACCCUUGUUUUAAUUAUUGGGCAAUUAUGGUGUCCUUGCCCAUGUAGACUAACCUUGUUUUGAGGAAUCCCAAUUGAUUAUACUUCUAACCCACGCAAGAUUUGGGAUCGAAUAUGCAUAAUGACGAAAGAUGAUGUAUGGUUGAUUUGUUUAUAAGGCUUGAUUCAAAAAUUAUUUCUAAUGUUUGAUCGUAGUUUUGUUUCAUGUGUGUUUAACAAGUUGCUAGUCGUGAUUUGGAAUUCUUCUAGUGGGUGGAUGUAUGCAAGUUUGAGCACAAUAAAGAAACUUAUGCAAAAGACGUCUAAAUAAUCGUACAAUUACUUUUUGAAAACGAAGGGACUAAGUAUGCAUCUAAUGAUUAAGUAUGGAGGGGUGAGAAAUAUGAGAAUAAUGAAUACUAGAUUUAAUUUUUUUUGACGUCGAUACUCCUUAUUUCAUCAAUCCAAAUCCAAUCCUUCAUGGCAUAUCAAUUUUUUUCUUUCUCGUCCCACUUUCAUCUGUUUCAUCAUUAAACACAAAAAAUGGAUCGUUCUUAUCAUUUUCAUCGCACAUGUUUUAUUUAAAUAAUUUAAUAAAAUAUAAAGUCAAUUUUAAAUAUAAUUAUAUACAUAUAUUAAAGGGCAUUCUCUUAUGAAUAGUAGAGUUUAUCGACUUCCAACUUUCCCCACAACAGUUUGUAACUUCCGACUUUACCCACAGCAAUUUCUACACAUUGUCUCUUUUUGUCCUCCCAUGUUUCCACCGCCCUUCUUAGCCAAUCGAAUGUUUGCACAUAGAUGAUCUUCUACUAUGCUUCCCUCGUAUUAUCUCUCCAACAAUUUCAAACUAUUUGGGUUUAUUUCCCUAUCCGUUGUUCUUUUCUUUUUGUUCGUUUCAAAGAUUUUGGGGUUCAUGCUUCCAUUGCAUCGUCAGGUAAGGGUUUAGGGUGUCGCUUCUUACAAUCAGAUGUCUUUUGUUGUUGUUUCGAAUUUGGAUAUGCUGUUUGUUGUUUCUAUUUGAUUUUCAGUUUUUGUUGUGAUUGUUGUUUCCUUUCUUUUUUAUGCGAUGAAUCCCAACCACCGUAAAAGGGGCUCCACUUCUGGUGCAACAACCCCAUGUCGUUCACGGAGGAAUUUGUUUUUGGUAAACGUAUUUGUGUUGCCUGUUUGUUGCGACUGUGUGAAUUGUUCUUGUAUGUGUGAGUUUUGCGGGGAUUUUUUUUUUGGUUUCAUGAAAGGGUGUUGUAUUUUGAUUCAUUGAAGCAAUGGAAUUGGUGCAUGUAAACCUUCAGCCACAACUUUAGAUGUAUCAAGCAAAAAAUUAGUUCUAAAACUUAAGUUUUGUUUUUGAAGGUUACCAAAUUUCAUUCGAUAUUGAACAAGAUGAAAUUUACUAAGAAACUAAUGAUGUUCCGAUUCCAAAGAUGAUCAUAGACCAGGAUAAGGUGGUUUAGUUGGUGGCUUGGAUGCACAGUGGUUUUGCGUCGGCGCCGAAUUGAAGCUGUUUCUAUCAUCGGCACACGCGUAUACGUCCACCCCUUCAUCGCCUUUAUACUCCAAUAAAGUCUUCCACAGCAUCUACAAACCCUUCUGGUAUUGUUGUGAAUUAGGACUAUGCAAGAUCGUUCUUUUAAGGUCUGCAAACACUAAAUAAAAUCGCUCGAUGCUUCAACCCCUUUUCAUCAAUGAAUAUUUUAUGUUGUCUUCUCUUCUGGUAAGUAAUGAGAUUUUUUCUUAAUUUUCUCCUGAGAUUUUUAGAGGCAUUGAAACAGAUUAUGUAAAAAAUGUUGAAAUCAAUCAUUUUCAGUUGGGGAUGAACCUUUUGUACAUAUUAGUUAUUUUUUAGCAGUGUUGCAGAAAUCGGCAUUGGCGGCCGAUUAAUCGGCGAUUAAUCGUUUGGCGGCCUCGAACCGAUUACGAUUAGAGUGUCUGGCGGUUCUCGGCGGUCAUAGGCGGGAAAUUUUUAAAAAAUUCAAAAAAAAAUUCAAAUAUUACAACAAAAUUUUAAAAUUUUAAAUUUUUAAGCUUUCAAACUUUAAAAUAUUAUACUAAAAUUUUUAAAAUUUAAAAUUUCCAAAUACUUAAUUUUUUAGUAAAUAUUAAUUUUUUAAAUAAUUUUAUUAAUAAUUUAGGGUCCCCGAUUAAUCGCCGAUUAAUCCCCGCCGAGUCUGAUUAAUCGCUUAUCGUCAGUCGACCGCUGAACAAUUUUUAAAACCUUGUUUUUUAGUAAUAAAACUUUGUUUACAAUUUUAUUAUGGAUGCAAUGCACAUCAGGUAUUUGACAUAGUGUCUCAAAGAAUGUUCAAAGCUUCUUUUUGUCAUAGAUCUAUGUUCAACCUCAUUAUGUGAAAGACAAUUGAUAUGCAUAAGAAAUAAGAACACAAAAAUUGAAUGAAAUAAACUCUUAUUGUAAUUCAGAAAAUAACUCAAAAUUGGAUUACAAUCUUUCCUUUCUUGCUCUCUCUAAAAUCGAUAUGAUUCUACUUGAUCAUAUGCAAGCAGGCCCGGUUUAGGGCAGGUGCCAAAUGGGCAAUGGAACAGGGCCUAAAAUUUAAGGGGCCCAAUCUUUUUUUUUUGUGUGUGUAAUCCGUCAGCGGUCGACCCCAAGCAAUCCAACACCAUUCGAAUCUCAAAUUGGGAAAUCGGUGUCAAACAGAAAGCGAACAACAACGAAUCAACAAUCGAUCGAUUGGUCUUGCUCGUUAUCCUUAAAAAAAGUCGAUUGCAGCAAUCGAUAAUCGUGGAAGACUGGAAUCAGGGCAGGGAAACGAUCAAACGAAGGGCAAUGGCGCAGUGCAUCAACGGACAGCGAUCCAUCAGGUUAGCGACAUCGACAACAAUCAACAAGACAAUAAUUAUCAUUCAUCAUCCUCCAGCAUACAACACUACAUCAGUUUCUAACUUUUUAUUUUCUAGGUGAGGGUAUUAGAGUCUUAGACAAUUAGAAUAUUAGAAUUUAUCUAUCCUAUAUUCCUAUCCCUGUUAUCAAUUUAUCAAUGACCCAAUUAUCCAUUCAUGAUUUAUCCUGCUAAUGUAAUAGAUUAUGAGAAAUUAAGGAAUUAGAAAUAAGGAAUUAAGGAUUAUGAGUUUGUAAAUUAUAAUUCUCAAUUCAAUUGCAUACUUGAAUGAGUUGAAUGUAUUAUCAAAUUUUCAGAUUCUUGUGUAAUUGUUUAGAUAAACAACUGUUUAAUUUUCAGAUUCUUGAAUGUGAUUCAUGAAUUUUUAAUUGUUUAUCUAUAACACCCAAAGUUUUGAAAGCCAAGAAAGUAAAGGAAACCCAAAAAUUAAGGGGGACUCGGCGAGUCCAAGGAGGAACUCGACGAGUCGGAGCGGGAUCCGAGUCGAGGAGUAAGUGACCAACUAGGCGAGUCGGCCAAGGCGACUCGGCGAGUAGGGUCUGUGCGAGGAAAACCCUAAAUCCGGGGCUUGGAGCCUAUUUAAACGUCUCAUUCUUCUUUCUAGGGCUCCUUUACUACCUCUCCAACCCAGAAUACAAACCUUAAACCGCCAUGUUGCUUAUUCAAGCUCUUUGCCAUUUUGAGGGUGAUUUGAAGGAAGAAGGAGGGAAGGACCUUUCAGAGCACUUGAAGGAAAUAAGUCGUUUCUUUCAUCCAGAUCUACUUUGGUUAUGAGUUUUGGGGCUUUUAAGCCAUGUUAAGAUCAAUCUCGAGCUUGAGGUCCAGAUCUGAGGUUGCUACCUCAGAUUCAUGCUUGCUUUGGUUUAGAAUCCCGUAAAGUAUCAGCCAUUGAGUGGAUUAUGGAGCCUCUUGGUCUUAAACCUUGGUUUAUGGUGCAUUUUGCCUAGAUCUCCUUCUCUACACGUAAAGUUUGCAACUUUACGUGAGGACUAGGCUUGGGAAGGGUAGAUCUACAGUUUGGAGUCCCUGCAUGACUCGAAAGUCCUCUACAUGUAUGUGGAACCAAGUGGACUCGGCGAGUCCUUCGAGUGGACUCGGCGAGUAGCUUGAAGAUGAGGAUGAACUCGACGAGUGGGAUGAACAGCUCGUCGAGUCGGAUGAUGAUGGGCAUGAACUCGGCGAGUUGGUUGAAGAUUGCCUUGUGCUCGGUGAGUCUGUUCAUAGACUCGACGAGUCAGGUCGCGUGGUCCCAAACCCUUCAAGUUAAGACUCGAGUCAGCGAGUCGAGCCAGGACUCAGUGAGUGGGACAGGACAGGAUUCGGGAAUCAGUAGACUCGGUGAGGGCUGACUCGGCGAGUCAAGUCGCGAUUGGAAGGACUUUGAGCAUAAGAACUCGGCGAGUCAGUAAGUGGACUCGGCGAGUAGGGUUGACCUGGAAGGUUGACUUUGACCAAGACUUUGACUUGGACCAGAGUUGACUUGGUUGACUGUCGGGGGUCAGUUAGACUAAGUGUUGCAUUGAUAUUGAUAGCUCGGGAAGCUAGUAGAGCAGGAGUCCAGUGAGUGGUCGGGCAGCAGCUAGUGGGAUCAUCAGCCAGUUCAGCCAGUGCAGGUGAGUUUCCCUUUUUGUAUGAAUGGGUCUACGGCCACAAUGUCGGCCCGUGUAAUUAUGAGUAGAAGACCCGGGGGUUAGCCCCAGGCACAGUAUGCUAGUAUGAUAUUCGGGACGAGGUCCAAUGAUAGAGGGCGGGUGCCUAAGGAAUGUUUUAUGAGAUAGUUUAUACUUGUUGUCUGUGUGAUACUUGUAUGUGCCUGGUAGGGAGGUGAGUGUGGGCGAGGUCCCGUAUCUCACCAAUAGCAGAGUGUGGAUGGUGUUCCACAUCUCAGUAGUAGCAGAGCAGGGGCGAGGCCCAAGUUAGGGAAGGAGUGAGGGUGGGCUGGGCCCGUACCUCACUAUCAGCAGGAGUAUGGACGGGGUUCCAUGACUCAUCAGUAGCAGGACAAGGGCGGGGCCCAGAAAUAGGCGAGGCCUUAGGACAAGAUCCGUUAGUAUGUGUUUGGACUAUGUGAUGUGAUGUGAUAUGUUUACGUGCUAUAUUAUGUGUUAGUGGGCGAGGCCCUGUGACAGGCGAGGCCUAAGUGAAACAGAUCUGUAUCCGAGCGGGGCUCGAAGCCAGGCGGGGCCGUUGUAGCGGGCAAGGCCCGAGGUAGGGGCCGAGGCCCAGGAUAGCGGGCGUGGCCCAGUAUUUGCAGUAUGUGUUAGUUGCAGCUAGAUAGAGAGCGUGGCCCAGUAUAUGCAGUGUGCAGUUAUGCGCAUGGUAUGUGGUAGGGUGGGGAACUCACUAAGCUUCGUGCUUACGGUUUUCAGUUUUGGUUUCAGGUACUUCCGGUAGCGGAUGAUGGGGCUCGGGGUGAUCGCAUGGCACACACCAUAGUUUAGACAGCCUGGGAAUGUUUACUCUGAUAACGAAUAUGUAUUUUGGAAACUAAUACUUUUUUUAUGUUUGAAAACGAUGAAUUUACUUAACGUAAUGUUUUAUUAAAAGAAAUUUUUAGUCUUAAAUUUUGGGACGUUACAUUAUCACUAUAUCGUAUUGUCAUUAUGUUAUAUUAUCAUAUUGAAAUCUGAUUGAAUGAUUCACAAUGUUGAAUGAUUUUGAAAUAGAUUAUUAGAAACAUAAAUUAAAUUAUGAGAUUAUUUUUAUUGUAUAAUUGUUUAUCAGAAAUUUGGAAUUCAGAAACCAUAGUGUAUAAAGAAUCAAAUUAUGUUUAUUGUUUGAAAAAUUGUAGAGAUUAAGUCUAUACAACCAUCCGGUAGUCAAAAACGUAAAAAAAGAAAACUAGAUGAAGAAAAGAGAAAGGCUGACGUCGGUGCUCUAGAUAAGUUUAUCCAUAGACAACCUAUUGAAGAGCAUGUUGAAGAGCACAUUGAAGAGCAUGUUGAAGAUAAAGAGCAUAUAGAAGUAGAAGAGUCAAAAGAGCAAGAGCCCGUUAGAGAGCUUGUUGAUAUAUAUGAUCCAAGAAGGUGGGAAAAACUUAAUUCUGAGGAGAUUAAACUUUUGGUCCAAAAAGGCCCUAAAAGAGAUAAUAGUAUUAUGUAUGGUCCUUACGGUAAAUUUGGUAGACGGUUUUCUACAGCUUUAUAUACAAGAACUUUACCAAAUUUGGAAAAGUGUGAUAGAGAAUGGCUAGUAUAUUCAACAGAGCUAGACAAAGUAUUUUGUUUCUGUUGUAAAGUGUUUAGAAAAGGGAUUUCAAAAGGUAAAUUGGAUGGUGAAGGUUAUGCAGAUUGGCACCAUGUUACCACUAGGGUAAAGGACCCGAAAUUUCAUUGGAUCAUCUUACAAAUAGGAAUAAGUGGUUUGAUAUGCGUAAAAGAUUGAACUUGAAUGAAACAACUGAUAAAGUUCAAUACGAGCAAUUCAAGAAAGAAAGAGAUUACUAGAAACAAGUCCUUUAUAGAAUCAUUGCAGUAGUGAAGUUUCUUGCUAAACAUAAUUUAGCAUUUCGUGGAUCCAAUGAAAAGUUGUAUCAAAAAGGUAACUAUAAAUUGUACUUUUUUUGUUCUAAUUCCACCAAAUACUUUUUUGUUAAUUAUUAUGACGGAUUUCACUUCUUAUUUGUUAAUUGUAUGUAAUAAGUAACGGAAAUUUUUCGGGUGUCAUUGAAAUGUUGGAAGAGUUUGACCCGGUUAUCAAAGAGCAUUUGUGGCGGAUCACAAGUGAUGGGCUUCAUGUGCAUUAUCUUGGCCACUUAAUCCAAAACAAACUAAUAUCUUUGCUAGCUCAAGAAAUUUAAAAAGAACUUAUCUGUAACGACCGAAAAAUACAACAAAUUUUAAAUUUUUCAAAAACAUCUCAAUUCUAAUAAUUCUUUACAAAAAGGUUUUCAAUACAAAACAUUUAUCGUAUUCCCAGAAUCAUAACACUACAAAAUCAUGAGGAGCGGUACGAUCACGCCUUCGCCUUGCCACGAUCUCCUGAAGAACCUGAAAAACAUGAAACCACAACUGUAAGCCCGAAAGCUUAGUGAGAUACCCCCAAAAUACCAACCACAAAUACCAUACACGCAUAACAUGCCAUAACAUAUCCGAUCAUAGAACAGUCAUGCUCUCCGGGUCUACUGUGUGACUGGUCCGCCGCACCGGCCAACAGUCCACCUGGUCCACCCUCUGAGUCUAUCCGCAUACAUCGAGUCUACAGUGUGAUUGGUCCGCCCGUUCCCGAGCCUUCAAUCCACCUGGUCCACUCUCUGAGUCUACAGUAUGACUGGUCCGCCCGCAUCGGGCCUUCAGUCUGUCUGGUCCACUCUCCGAGCCUUCGGCACGUCUGGUCCGCCCCUUCCGGGACCUACAGCCUAUCCGGACCGCUCGCUGGGCCUACGGGACAACCGGUCCGCCCUGGGUAUCUUGGCCUACUGCACACAGCAGGACCCGCCUCAACCCAACUCCAGUCCAAACAUCCAUGUGCACAUAUACAUACAAUCAUCUAACAAUUCACAGUCAACAAGCAGAUCAACAGAUCACAUAACAUGCCACUAUCCUAACCAGGAUACCGACCUAACAGGUCACUAACAUAGCAUCUCCCUAUCUCUCUGGAUACCGAUCUCAAUCAGGUCUCUAGCAUAUACCAUCCUAACUCACAGGAUGCAAACAUGAUAAAGCAGUAACAUAAAAACAACUACCCGGAUCUCAAUCCGAUAAGGGCCGGCCUUGGUGCCUUAGACCCCGUUGAUAUAGUGAGGAUAACUCACCUCGAAGCUGCCGACUGAACAGAUAAUCCAAGCUACUCCGAUCACUGAUACGAUCUCCACCACUGGUCAACCACCAAUGCGCUGAACUCAAAACAACAAACAAUAAUUACCAAAAUGCCCCUGGACACCAUUGGUCAACCCUUGGACAAAGACAAGGUCAAAGUCAACUCCUGACUGACCCUACUCGCCGAGUCAACCCUAUGACUCGCCGAGUUCCCAUACUCAGACUUCACUCCAUCCGCGACCUAACUCGCCGAGUCACCCCGAGACUCGCCGAGUCCAACAACUCAGAGUCCACUCGCACACAACUCACCGAGUCAUCCCUUGACUCACCGAUUCUCGACUCAACCAGAGAAUAUCGGAACUCUUCGACAAGACUCGCCGAGUCCAAGAACAGACUCGCCGAGUCNNNNNNNNNNNNNNNNNNNNNNNNNNNNNNNNNNNNNNNNNNNNNNNNNNNNNNNNNNNNNNNNNNNNNNNNNNNNNNNNNNNNNNNNNCAAAUAACACCUUUAGCCCUUCAACUCUACUCUUGCUAUUUCGGGAUGUUACAUUAUCAAGAAGAUAAAUAGAGCAAAGUACUACUCAAUCAUACUUGAUUGUACUCCCGAUUCAAGUCACCAAGAACAAAUGACUAUAAUAGUGAGGUAUUUAACAUUAUCAUAUAAUUUUGUUACUGUCGAGGAGUCCUUUUUAUGUUUUUUGAAUGUUGAUGAUACUUCUGGAAAAGGACUAUUUGAUAUUACACUUGAGGAGUUAAAGUCUCUUGGUCUUGAAAUUGAUGAUAUGUGUGGUCAAGGCUAUGAUAAUGGAGCAAACAUGAAAGGAAAACACCAAGGAGUGCAAAAGAGAUUUUUAGAUAUAAAUCCUAGAGCAUUUUACACUCCUUGUGGUUUCCAUUCUCUAAAUCUAACAUUAUGUGAUAUGGCUAACAAGUGUGUUAAAGGAAAGAACUUUUUUGGAUUCAUUCAACGCAUUUAUAUUAUCUUUGCAAAUUCUACUAAGAGGUGGGAAAUUUUGAAAGAUAAUGUUAAAGCUUGGAGUCUUAAGUCAUUGUGUCAAACUCGUUAGGAAAGCCGGGUUGAGAGUGUAAAGGUUAUUAAACUUUGACUUGUGGAUGUACGGGAAGCUUUACUUCAAGUUGGAGAAAAAAAUAAUGAUGUUGCAAUUGCAAGUGAAGCAACUUCACUAGCAGAAAAAAGAACUUGGUGACUUUGAAUUUUUGGUAUCAAUUGUUAUUUGGUAUGAAGUAUUAAACCAUGUGAAUAUUGUGAGUAAGAAGUUACAAUCAAAGGAUAUGCAUCUUGAUAAUGCUAUUACAUAAAUAAACAAAUUGAUUGGGUACUUCAAGAAUUAUAGAGAAACUGGUUUUUCAAAAGCGAUUGUUGAAGUUAAGGAGAUUGCUAUUGAAAUGGGUAUUGAUCCAAUAUUUCCACAAAAGUGUUUGAUUGAAAGGAAAAAAAAGGUUUGAUGAGAGUUCACCUAGCCAAGAAGUUUCAUUUACACCUGAAGAGAAUUUUAGAGUCAAUUAUUUCUUAUUCAUUGUUGAUCAAGUUAUUUCUUCUCUUGAGACAAGAUUUGAACAAUUCAAAGAGUAUGACAAAGUAUUUGGUUUUUUAUUUCCACAUAAUUUAAGGGGAAUUGAAGAUAAAGAUUUUAAGUCGUAUUGUCAUCGUCUUGAAAAAGCACUCAAGUUUGAAGAAAGAUCGGAUAUUGAUGCCGAGGAACUUUAUACGGAGUUGAAAUUAUUUGAGACAUUGGAAGCCAAUGAAUUUAGCAACCCUAUAUAUGUUUUGAAGUUUUUGAAAGAACUUGAUUAUUUCCCAAAUGCAAGCAUUGCAUAUAGAAUAUUGUUGACUAUUCUAGUAAUGGUUGCAUCUGCAGAAAGGAGUUUUCUAAAUUGAAGUUUGUGAAAUCUUACUUACGCUCCACAAUGACACAAGAAAGACUUAGCGGUUUGGAAAUGAUAUCUAUCGAGAACGAAAUCUUAGAGAGUGUAGACUAUGAAGAGUUGAUCAACAAAUUUGCAAUCAAGAAUGCUAGGAGAGCUUCACGGAUCGUCGGUUAGCUGUUAGGAUAUUUAAUUACUCUUUAAAAUACUAUGAUUUUGCUUUGUUUAUUUCUAUAAAGUUUAUCGUCAUUUUAAUAAAAAUAUUAUUUUAUGUAAGUUAAUUUGUUACAUGUUAAGGCCUAAGGGCCUUUUUUUAUCCAUCUCGUCCUGGGAUUUUGAAUCCUCAGAACCGGCCCUGUAUGCAAGUAUAUAUAGAUGGCUAAAUAGAAUCCUACUUGAUUACAACUUGCCAUAUAAAUGACUUGCUUGAUCCUUAAGUAAACUAGAUUUCCUUUGGUCCUAAGCAACUUCUUAAGACUCCUUGUUGCCCAAGGAAUGAACCUUCCUACACCUCAUCGUGUAUAGAAGAGGGAAUGAACCAUAUAUGGUUUGCCUCAUUAAAACCUUGUUUAGAGAAAACCUAGUGGGAAAAAAUCUAAGUAAGGACAAAAGAAUGCACUAUGGUUAAUAAGUAUUCAACUGGAUACUCCCCCUGACUUCAAAAAUUGUAUGUGAGAAUGGGAUACAGAUAGUGUCUCAUUAAAAAAACUUUGUUAAGGUAAACCCCAUGGGAUAAAAACCUUGAGCGAAAGGGAAAAGAGUACACAAGCAUUCAUCAGGAUGUUCCCCCUCACAUGCACUCAACAUGGUGCAAAGCAUACGCCGGGAUGCAAGUCUUAUUUACACAUAACUGGGUACAUGAUACAUGUCAUUUAGGUAGCCUAAAGAGCUCCCUAAGUCCAAUAGCUUUGACAUGUUUUUGGAAAGAGUACUUCAGUAGUGACUCGGUGAACAAGUUUGCAUGAUUCUUAUCUGAUCUAAUAUGUUUCACUUCAAUCUUUUGAAAUGCUUGUUGUUCAUGUGUAAAGAACAAUUUCGGUGAGAUGUUUUUAGUGUUAUCCCCUUUGAUGUAACCAUGUUUCGCUUGGUCAAUAACAACAAUGUUAUCUUCAUAUAUGACAAUUGGUUCAUUGGGAUCAUAAGCCAAAUCACAUUUACUUCGAAUAUGGCCAAUUACAGGUCGAAGCCAUGCACACUCUCUAGUCGUCUCAUAGAGGGAAGGUAGUUUAGAGUGAUUAGUCGAAGUAGAAACUAGAGUUUUUUUACAAGAUCUUUAGGAUAUCACCGUGUUCCCGAUGGUAAAGACAACCAGAUUGGGAACGCCCCUUAUGCGGGUGGGUUACACUUGAUCCCACAUCGGCUUGGAAGGAGAACGAAACAUUUCCUUAAAAAGGGAUGUGGAUAACUUCCUCGUCACAAUGUGUUUUAAAGCUGCGAGGGAAGCAGAUCCCAUAAGAACUCUAUAGUUAAACGUUCCCGAGCAAGUGCAACUUAAGGAUGGGUGACCCCGUGGGAAAUUUUUGAGCCAGGAGCCCAAAGCGGACAAUAUUGUGAUACGUACCAGAGGGGAAUGUUACAAUAACCAUCACAUCUGUAACAAAGAGUUCGCUCAUCAACAUGAUCUCUUAUGUUAGGACAAUUGGACGUUUGUUAUUGUUCUUAUUAUGAGAUUGCUUAGGAGCCGAAGUUCUUUGGUAUGAAUUGGAUUGUUAACCUCGCUAAGUUUGGCGAGAUUUACGCUUACCAUGAUUCAUUUGCUUUCAGUAUGACUGACCCUUUUCUCGGUUCACGUUUCGUGGUUGAGGCCCGCGAACAUUAUUAGCAUCGAGCAUUGGAAUUGAUUUUGUAUCAACAUGACGAGAAUUGACAUUUCUCAUUAAAACGAUGCUAUUUUUCUCAUCCAAUAGUAAUUGGGUAAUGAGCUCAGGGAACAUUGUGAACUUGGACUGAUAGUAAUGCUUCUGAAGCAAAUUGUCAUAACUAUGAAAUGUGGUGUAAGUCUUCUCCAAUAAGUCAACAUCAAUCAAUGGUUGACCACAAUAAUGAUGAAGUGAACAAAUUCUACAGACUUUGGUGUUAUACUCAGUAACUGAAACGAAGUCUUGGAAUUGAGCUAACCUUGGCGGGCUUCAGAAAGCCAUAUGGUCUUUUGAUAGUCGAAACGCUCUUUCAAAGAAUCUCAUAAUGUCUUGGGUGAGGUGAUUGCUAUGAAUUCAGACUCCACUGUGUCUGACAGAUGACGGCAAAAUAACAUCAUCGCUUUAGCAUUCAUUUUGCGGAUAACUUCAACCUCACAAUCAUCUUCAUCUUAAAUGAUAUCCAACAAUCCCUAGGCAUCUAGGCGGUUCUGAAUAUCUUUAGUCAAUUCCAAAUAGUUCUUGUUGACGGCGUCCAAGAUAAGGAAAUCAAUUUUGAUCGACAUUUUCCUACAACGAUAGGAAAAAUAAUGGAUUAGUUAUCAUAUAAAAUGACAUGUUUAUAUGUUUAUGGUUUGCAUUAGCACAAAUUGUGUUUCGAAAUGACAUACUCGAGAAGCACACAAUUUGCUAAACUUUGUUUUCGAAACGCUAGGUUCGAGAAACACAAGAUUUACUAUAGCGAACUUUGUUUUUGGAAACGACAGGUUGGAGAAACACAAGUGUGAAAAAAAUCUCAUUGAUCGAACAAUGGGUCGAUUCAAGCAUAUAAUCUAAAUUUGUUGUCAAUCACAUUGAUGUAUUUAUAGAUGAUCCAUAAUUUCUUCACAUAAACGUGACAUGUAUUUGGUAGAUGACAAAACUCAUGUUUGAGAAGAAAAAGUCGUUGAAAUUCUACAAAUAUUAAGAGUUAUAAACAACUUUUAGGAAUUUUAAAGGUCAAAAAAACCAUUUAUGCCACAUAAAUAAGUAACUACAUGCUCAUAAAAACAUAUAUNNNNNNNNNNNNNNNNNNNNNNNNNNNNNNNNNNNNNNNNNNNNNNNNNNNNNNNNNNNNNNNNNNNUAUACAAUGUCCUUAAUACUAAUCAUACAUACUUAUAAAGUUAGCAUUUUUUCUUGAAUCUCAUGCAUUUGAAACCCCCAUAAAAAUAUGUCAACACCACAUGCAUUUGAAACCCCCACACCUUUUCACCUUCAAAGUAAUUAAUCACACAUAAUCUCAUUCAUUUCAAACCUAUAAGUUCAACACCUCAUGCAUUUCAAACCCCCACACCUUUUCACCUUCAUUAUAUAUGUAGUUAUAUUAGUACAUUUUUCUUACAAAAAGUCGUUAUUUGGUUGAAGAUAUUAUGAUUCAAAAGUUUUCAUAUAGUUGAAGCAUUCACGAUCCAAAUAUGAUGAUUUAAAGAAAUGGGUUAUGUCGCAUCGAUGGUAACUGUAAUUUGAUUUUUUCUUUCAAGCAAAACAAAUGAAACUUUUCUAUUCUUUAUUUAUAUUCAAUUUUUCAUUUGACCUUUAUAUGAUUUGUAUGUAUAACUCAAUCUUGAAUGUGACUCUCCAAACAUCAAUGUUUUGCUUGGAAUAUCUUUCUCAUUCUUAUCUUUCAAGAAAAACAUUUUGAUUGCAGGUUAGUGAAGAAUUGUCAUCAAGUUUCCAUGGUUGAGUGGUGUUCAAUAAAGAAAGAAGAUUCAGAAAACGGAUAUAGUUUUUUUUUUGUUUGAGCAAAGUAGACGAAUGUUAGUUUUUUCUUUUGAUUUAAAUGUAUAUUUAUGUAACAUUUUUAUUUAUAUAUUCAACCACCCAAUGUUCUUAUUUAUUUGAUUGUAGUUUUUCUAUUUUGAUUAUGUUUAUUUUAUAUUAUUUUUUGUUGGGUUAUCCUACACAACAUAUUUACAAGACAAUAUUUAAAAGAUAACAUAAUUUUUAACAUUUGAUAUGUAAUUAUGAUGACUAAUCAUGAUAUGUUAUUCAUAUGAAAUUAAUUUAUCCAUAUUACUACGACAAAAAUUACAUAUGACAUUUACAAAAAUAUAUAUUAUAUGUGAUUUGUUUAACAUAUAUAUAUGCACCUAUGUAUGUUAUAAAUUUAUAAUUAAAUAUAUUUAUGUUUAAUAAUUGAAGGGAUUAAAAUGAUGCAUCAAAACCAAUUAUUUAGACGAAUAUAAUAAUAAUAAUAAUAAUAAUAAUAAUAAUAAUAAUAAUAAUAAUAAUAAUAANAGACAAUAUUUAAAAGAUAACAUAAUUUUGAACAUUUGAUAUGUAAUUAUGAUAGACUUAUCAUGAUAUAUUCUUCAUAUGAAAGUAAUUUAUCCAUAUUACUACCACAAGAAUUACAUAUGACAUUUAUGAAAAUAGAUAUAUUUUAUGUGAUUUGUUUAACAUGUAUAUGCACUUAUGUAUGUUAUAAAUUUAUAAUUAAAUAUCUUUAUGUUUAAUAAUUGAAGGGAUUAAAAUGAUGCAUCAAAACUAAUUAUUUAGAAGAAUACAACAACAACAACAACAACAACAGCAACAACAACAGCAACAGCAGCAGCAACAGCAUCAACAACAACAACAACAACAACAACAACAACAACAACAACACAUUUUCAAGUACCGUAUUCAUUUGAAACUCACACUACAACUCAAGAGUUUUCUAAUUUAUGUAUAUUUAUUAGUUACAACUCAAAAGUUUUUAACUUAUGAUUAUUAAUUAGUAAUCACUAAUAACUUUUUAUUUUCCUUUCUUUUAUAAGGUUGUAAAGUUUUGCUCAUUAAAAACAUUAAUGUAUUUGACGAGAUUUGUGAUUUAAAUAUGAAAAGUUAAUAUAAAUGUUAUAAUAAAUGUUUUAGUGUUGUUAUUAAAAGUUGUAGUGUUCAUUUUUAAAUAUUUUUUUAUUAUUCGUUGUAUAUAUAUCUUUUUUAAUACAAUGCUAUAAUAGAUGUUUUUGUAUUUUUAUGUUACUAAAAGUUGUAGCUCAUAUUUUUGUUCAUACAUUUUGUUACCCGCUAUAUAUAGAUUAUCAUACGUUUGAUAUAUAAUUUACACAAUUUUAAACGGUUUAUAAAAUUAUCAAAUAAUUGUAUAUAUCACAAUGACUUAAAACUUAAAACUAUAAUCAUCAUACUAUAUUAUAAAAGAAAUAUUUUUUCGUUCACAACAUUCAUUUGAAACUCCCAACAUUUCAUAUUUCCAUACAAUGUACUUAAUUUAUUAACUUAAAUAUGCUUUUAGUUGUAAACAUUAUCAUAAAUGGAAGAAUUUGUGACUUAUCAAAAUGAUAUACUUAAUUUGUUAACUUCAAUGUAUAGUUAAAUAAAUAACCUACAUUAAUAUAUCAAAUAAGCUUAAAAAUUUAGUGUAAAAUUUAAAACUUAAAGUAAAAUAUCAAAUAAUGUUUAAAAAAAAUCAAUAUAUAUUUUUUAACAUAGUUAAAAGGAAAACAUUAAAUAUAAUAAUAAUAAAAGAACCUAAAUUGAUGAUUGAAUUAACUAAAAGGUGUCUGAAAACAAUAUUCUAACAAUAUAUUUUUAACAUGCGCCGCGCAACGCGCGAGAAUUCGUCUAAUGUUAGUAAUAAUCAUAGCAAAAUAUGAUGGAUAUGAACUAUGGAGGAUAUUUGUGACAUAUGGUCUUUUAACAAAAGAAAUGAUAAGUUUUCAAGACUACAAUGAUCAUUAUUGUAAUUUAUGUGUCCAUCAUAAAAAAAAAAUUGUCGUUGUAGGAAAUAUAAAUCCAGAGAGGUCUCAUAUUCCGAUUAUGUGACACUAAAAACAUCUACAAAAAAAGUUCAAUGUGCAAAUUCGAGUAGAUCAAAAUAAACAAUACCCAACAAAUUCUUUUAUCUCACUUUUGAUCUAGGAAAAUUUUUCAUUUUUCCCAAAGUAAUACCAAAUGGAAAAAAGUAGACAAAGUCGAGGAGUAUUAAGAAAGCCUUACUUCAUAAUUAGAGAAAAUAAAACGACAAACAUAAAGUAUAAUGCUUCCAACUUCGAGCAAAGUGCUAAUAUCGUGUUGUAAGACAAAUUAGCUCACGUUAAUGAUCAUGCAAAGAUUCAUCAGACAAUGUGAAUGUGUGAUACAAAAAUACAUGAAAACUCUUUAUAUAAUCCUCUAUAUAAGACAAUGGAUGAUUGAAUCAAAGAUAGUAAACUCUAAAUAUAAAUGCACUUAUGAACUAUAUGAACUACGUAAGUAUGAUCAAUUACUAGUAACAUAAUGAGUCAGAACAAAUGUAAAAUAAAAUUGUCGUUAGACCAUUUAUUUUAUUUAUAAAUAGAAUAUACUAACAAAAAUAAAGUAAGAUCAAAGGUUGAUUAUGGAUCUUGAGCCAAUAUUACGAGGCCACGAGGGUGUUAACCCUAGGGACAAAAUUGUCUUUUAGAUGCUAGUUAGGGUUUUGCUUCUCUUUAAGCACACACCUAUAUAAAGCGAAAAAUAGCACCAUGACCCCCCUCUCACGAAUUAUACAUACCGCCGCUGAUUGUGAUUUCAACGAAGAAGCACCGGAAAAUGGGAGUUUUCACAUUCGUCUGCAAAUCCUCCGGCGGCAAAUGGACUGCCAAGCAGCUAAAGGGAGACCUUGAAGGCUCCGCCGACUCUACCUACGCUCUUCAGAGGUCUCUUGUUCAGGCCGCUUAUUCUUGCGACUCUUCCGGUGGUAUCCAGUCUUCUUUCAGCUACGUACUCCCCGAUUCUGCUGUUUUUCAGGUAUAAUUACGCUUUGAUCUGUUCAUAUCUGUUUGUCUCUAUUUCGACUUUGAAUGUCGCUGUGGGUUGAUUGAUGGUAAAUCGUUGAUUAGUCCUUAAUCAUGGUGAAUUUGCUUUGUACAUUUGAUUUAAAUGUUAGAAGUAAACAUAUCUAUUAUCUUUGUGUAUCUUAUUUCGCUAGAUCUAACUCUGACAUAGUAGACGACAAUCACUGUGCACAAUUUAUUAUGCAUUUUGAUUUAAUCCGAGUGAUUACUGUUGCAGCUAUUCGUAGUUCUUGUCUGAUUUUGGUAAACAAGUUUGAACAUGAAAUCAAAAUAUUUGAGCAUGUGUAAUUCUGUUUACAUUUUUUCCUUGAUUUUUUGGUUUUAAAUAUCAGAUUUUUUUAAAAAAAGUUCUAACCAAAACUGAUAAAUUGAAUAAUCAUCAAACCUGAAACUUAGAGUAAGUAGUAGUAGCCCAUUUAUUUUGUGAGGUUAAAAAUGCAAUAUACUUUAUUAUCGGCUUUCUGCUUUUAUUUCUUUCUUGUUACAAGAUUGUACUUUGAAAAAUCUAUUUACUAAUAGCAAUGUAGAAAGCAAUAAUUAAUGCUGAAAUGGGUGGAUUUAAUAAAUAUCCAGUCCUCUAAAACGGAAACAUUUGAAAUUAUAAUGAUAUAAAUCUAUAAUUGAGAUCAUUUAAAAGUAAGAUGCUGGAAUGAAAAAAUAAACAAAAGUAAAUUGCUAGUUUUUGGAUUUAGUCUUUUUUCAAACACCAAAAAUCUGUUCUACAUAUAAUAUUUGGAGCCUCUUCUGUGCAGGUGAUCAUUGGUGGUGGUGGUGGUGGUGGCUCUUUUGGUGGUGGUGCUGCAGCAGCAUCAUCAGCACCAGCUGGAGGUGCAGCAGCUGCUGAAGCACCUGCUGCUGAGGAGAAGAAGGAAGAGAAGGAGGAGAGUGAUGAUGACAUGGGUUUCUCACUCUUUGAUUAAUUCUUCUAUUUCUUUAUACAAUGUUAUGUUCAUCGUAUGUUUUCUUAUCAAGUUUUGAUAUUGUUGGUAGAUUAUUGGU